ACAUAUAUUACUAAGUAAAUGCAGUAGCAGCUGGCCCACGUACAUCAGCUACUCUGUUCAUUGCCCUUCAGGGAUGAAACUGAAAUCCACGACUGAAGCGUCUGAUACUGCACAUAAGACAGGACGAAAUUAACUCUGCUGAGUGAGAUAUCAGAUCAGGUCUGUAAUUCAGGCUGCACCACCAGAGUCAAGUCGGCUCUCAGAUAUAGCACACCAUCAAUGAAGAGGCUGUCAUCAGCAAUGAACGUCGACCAUGGCAUUCCGAAAAGAUCACCGCAUCCCUGCGACCGAUCACCAGUCAUGGUGUUCUUAUAUCCGUACUUGCUCACAAAUUUUCCUAACGGCUUUGUCCUUGCAGCAAACUCAAUAUCUAAACAUAUUGAGCCUGCCGGCUCAUCAAAAAUAUGUAAUGAUAGGGCAAAGCUGUACGAUGUUGCCUGCUCAACCAUUUUACAGUUUGCCAAGAGAUAGAAUUUGUGCCCUGCGAGAUGGAACAUUUGCGAGCAUAUACCUCCUGAUGGGAAGAGUCGGGAACACUCAUCACGCUUUAGAUCCAUGUAAACUGUAACCUGUGGGCAGGGUUGAUUAAAAGCAAUCACUCUCACAAGUUUGAAGUCGUAAGCUCGCUCAGCAAAUUGCCAACAUGUUGUCCCGUUUGCUGCAAGAGCAGCUUCCAUCUGGUUUGGGUAUGCUUUGUGUAGAAGUACCUCAGCAAUAUGCUUAGUUAAGUACUCAUGGUCUAUAUCAACAUCUUCACAUCUUAGGACCUUCUGCAGUGCAUCACAGCUCAUAUUACUGAAGCGUACCAGUGGAAGUAAGCGAUAACUCAAGACCUUGCGUCUUUCCUCCUCCGAAUAAUAGUAUCGCACACGGGCCCACUUGAGCAAGAAGUAAUAAACCACAUCUUCACAUAACACGUGUAGGUCACUGCUCGAAAAGAUGGCUUCGAUUCCAACAAGAGAGAUGUUCAUCAGUUCAUCUUGGAACCUGAAAUGAGAUAAAUAAUGCUAUGAGUGACAUAUAAACAAUAUAAUUAGUGACAUCAAUGUCAACAUUUUCUCCGAAACAAAAAGAAAAAAUCAUUGCUCCAUCAAAUAGUGGUCACUUACUUAUCAAAAUCCUUGUAUUUAUUGGCAAGGAAUCCCUUCGCUGCACGUACUAAACUCUGAACUUCAGCAGCCAUUAAAAUGGAGCAUGGAUGGCCUAGGAAUAGCAGUGCACAUUCUGUGGUCAUAGGCCGGCUUAUGAGUAACUGAGUGCAGUACCUCAUGCAAGCAGGAACCUCAAAUUUGUCAGCAGCCAUUAAGAUGUCGAGCAGAAGAGUGGGCUCAAUUGUUGUCAGCUUUCCACUGUACAUGAAUCUUAUAAGCUCCAUAAGGGAAUUUUCUUCUGUUCCAAGUAGAAGGAAAACAGUAAAGGCACAAGGAUUAAGAGAACAGUGCAAAAAAGAAGUAAGAAAAGCUCCACCUUGGAUUAACCUUUUCCGAUCAUGGAAAAGUUAUAUCUAUACUAUAAUAGAAAACGUAUGAGUUGGCGGAAUCCAGACGAUAUCGACCAUUCGAUACAAUCAGAUCCAAUGGCUCAUAAAUUAAGUUUCACCUUGCAAAGCACCUCAUAAUUUCAUAUUAAUUACAAAGAUAAUUGAGAGAGUUAAUUAAUCCACGAAUUGCCCACAUCACUGACUACAGAGACGACACACACUAGUGGAUACUCUAUAUGAUAGCCCUAUAGUACUGGUUACCUACCGCCAUUGCUUCGCAAUCCACACUACGAGUUUGAAUUAUCAAAUGAAAUUAGUUACCAUACAAUUAAUUAUUAACCUCAAUAAGGAAAGUUCUUCUGUAAUUUUAAGAAAGUGCGAACAUGCACUUAGAAACGUGUGUGUGAAGUCUGUGUAACUUUCUUUCAAAAAAAAAGUCUGCGUAACUAGUCCUAUAAGUGGUAGAAACACUACAAAACAUAAUAUUUAUUUACCACAAAUAAUCAAUGUUUUAUAUACAAAAUAUAAACAGUAACACAACCACAAUAGAGAAUUAGAAUAAAAAGUAAGAGGAAGAAUGUUACAGUUAAGCUAUAAUAUUACCUGAAUCAGCAAUCCUAAUUCUUGGAUGUGACUCAUCAGAUUCUUUCAUCCCAUUUGUGAAAAGCUAAGAAACUGAAGCUUAUUAGAAACUUGAACUGACUACAUAACAAAUACAUUUCACAUGGCUAUGAAAAUUACCUUUUGAAAGAAAGGACUUCUUGCGGCAAGAAUCGCCGAGUUUAUAUAAAGGGCCUUUACUGCUGAAAUUGCUUUGGCUGCCAUGGUUGAGGAAGAGUCAAUACUCUGUCCUUCAUCAGCUGCAAAAAAACAAGAUCAAUGAGAAACAAGACAACUAGGAAAAAAAUGUACAGAGCGACCAUUAGAUAGAUUUUUUCUGUUAAAAUGCUUGGAACAUUCUGUUCAAUGGUGCAGAUUCGUUUAGUCAAUAUUCAGAUGUAUGAUAAAAUGGUUAAAAUUAUCACAGAGAUUGAACGGCCAUUUACUGCAGCCAGCAAGCAUGCCUGUAGUUCACUGAGCAAAGUGAUCAUAGAUGUUAUCCUAAUGACCCAACAAGAAUUUCAUAUAACUUUAUCAGAUAAUUAUUUGUCAAUAGCCAAACUUACACAAUGCCUUUUGAAAGGUUUCAGAAACUUGACCAAGAAUUUCAGAACCGCGAUUCCAGAAAGGACAACAAAGUAGUAGAACUUCAGGUUUCAGUUCGAGUAACUUCUUUCCAAAAUUUCUGAAUUGCAUCGUUGAGCACUUCCACUGUCCAGUCGCUAGUAUCAAUUGCAGUGGAUUGAUCUUAUUUUACGUUUGCAGGGACGAGUAUUGAAAAAAAGAAGAAGUUAACAGCACUGCCACAUCAAAAUGUUGGACGAGAUAUUUGUUGCAUCAUUGUCAUAUGUAUGGACACUGGAAGACAUUUGUUGUUUUCUCUGAAUAACUUUGAUGUUGAUUUUGUCGAGCCCAAAUUUCAUUGUCAUUUGUGUCAUACUUUUCCAUGAUAAGACCUCGGGUGAAAACUUACAAUCUAUGCAACAUGAAUCUGUAAUACUUAAACAUAAGAGGUUGUCAAGCAGCCUAAUUGACAUAUUACAUGCUUGAACAGGCAAGUGCGGCAACAUGGCAGUGGAGACUGCAGAGUUCUAAAGUUUUAUGUAGUUCUUCCCUCCACAUCUCCUCUCCAAAUAUAAAGGAUCAUAUUACUAACAUAUGAAAUAGAAUUAUGAAGUCGCGAAAUAUUUUCUCCAGCGUUCCAAAUUCAAAUCCAUAGUCAAGCACUAACAUAUAUAGUAACAAUAUGUUCUUCCGUUUCUGGGAUACAUUCAGAAACAUAAUAUAAUUGGCAGAUUUGGCAUGUGGAUAAUGUACAAUCUCUGGUUCAAAACUAAUGUUCAUUGGUUAACUACUUUUUCUCUACAAAAUUGAGUUCGAUUAAAUGAGCAUGCACCGCUGUCAAUAUCAGAGACCCUCUCUUAUGGGCCAAAGAAAAAAAUCGUAGAAGGCCAGUGAUCGUGUGCCAUUCCUCCCUCCAAGUCAUGUCCUCGUUCAAGUUCGCUGACGCAGGCACAGAAAGCCGUUCCCGGGAACAGAUUUGUCGCUCGGCCUUAACUCUCAUCCACACGCGCACAUAUUAGCGCAUUAAUAAACGAACAAGAGAUUUGCGGUGUCAUUAAAGAGGUGUGUUGCCGUGGUGCUCACGCCUUUGGUUACCGGGGAUGUUUCCUCCCGCCCUAUAUACCGGUCCCAAGGGAGUGACUCUUACAUAUACACAGCAUAUAUACUAGUCACCCACAGCACAUAACUUAUGGAUUCUCUCUAUUACAUUGUUUACACCUUAUGCUAAACCCUAAAAUUAAACCACAUUGAUAGAGGGUCAGCCUGAAGCCCUGAACCACUUUCAGAAACGAAACUAGGCCAAGCAUCACAAAUCAAGCGCAAUAACCCCACACGCGCACAGAUCUACUGUAUGUACGAAUCGCAUCAAACAUGCAGGUAAUUACAAACGCUAGAUCCAUCCAGCGGCGAUAAGGGGGAAGGAAUUAGGGGAGGGGGUGAACGAGACUCUACGCACCUUUCUCCUGGCUGGCGGCGUCGGGGAGAGAUUCUCCUCCUCCGUCGUCGCCGGCGACGACCUCUACCUCCAGAACGAUGUUCUAGAACGCCUUCGAAUUGAAGGCGAACUCGAAAUCGGGAACCUCGUCGCAGCGUGAGAACUGCAGGCCCGUCUCCGCUUCCGCAGGUACCGUCGCAGUCUCGCCGCCGGCCAUGCGCUCCGCGCGCGACGACAGGAAGGAUGCGCGGGAGGACGGCGGAAACCCUAGCUCCCGGAGGGUUCUUCCAGGAGGCGAGAGGGCCGUCGCCGGUCGGAUCUAAGAGUAAACAGUUUCAAUGACCGCGAACCUCUUUUCGAACAUUUUUCAGUUUGUCCUUUUUUUCACUGGAACCUUUUUCUGUCUGUUUUAAGAUUUGUUUUGAUCGGCUGACCUAUCUGCUUUUUUUUUGUUGAUGAGUGCUGACGGCUGACUUAUCUUUUUUUCUUUUUGACCAAUGACCAAAAGGCUGACCUAUCUGCUCUCUUUUUUUUAGGGGAACCAACCAUGGACACGUGCCUAUAUAUGUGAACUAAGGGCCCAAGGCAGACCGUCAGAUUUGUGUUGCAGUCGAGGACCAGUACAAGACGGCGUUCCAACAUGAAAUCAUCUAUAAAUUCCUUGGGAUGUCAUUCGGCCUCAUCAACGCGCCAACAACCUUCCAAAGCAUCUUUAAUCAAAUCUUCAAGCCAGUAUUAUGGCGCUAUGUAUUCGUAUUCAUCGACGAUAUCUUAGUACAACCCCAUGGAAGAAGCUCACCUGAUGCCCUUGCGCGGGGUGUUUGAACUUCUUCAGUAGCACUAGUUACUCCUGAAGAAGAACAAGUGUUCAUUGGUCCAACAAGAGCUAGAAUACAUGGGCCACAUUAUUGACAUCAAUGAUGUUGCUAUAGAUGCGAACAAGAUCCAAGAAAUUGCAGAUUGGGCUCAACCCACAACACCCAAGAGCUUGCGAGGCUUCCUGUAUUUGUUCUCUGCUUCUUAUUGCUCGCAUUUUGAUCUCCUCUAUUUGUGCAUCAUUCUGAAAUCCCUUUGAUGGGAUUGUUUAUUGAAUCUAGCCAAAAUGAUAGAUACCUUUGGAAAGUUGCUUAAAGGGAGUUCUUCCACAUCUUCUUUCCCGAGAAUAAUGUCCAAGUCAAGGCUCCCUGUGAUCUGCCUGAGGAGGCCGACAUGCAUGAGGAUGCAUCGGAACGAGAGCCAUCGCAUGCACGAGCGUUUCCUCCCUGUUGCAACAGCGCUGUUUCUAGGGUUCGCCGCCACGGGAGACAAGGGUUCCCUGCUGUUGCUGUUGGGCGCGCGAGGAAGGUUCCUGGCCCGUCUGGCGUGUUCACGGCGUUGGCGGUCGGCGGGUACGUGAUGCCGCCUAAGGCUCCGACACAGGCGAAGGCCGCGCCUGUGACGAAGACGGCUUCGGGGGCUGCUGGAGCUGCUCCGGCGCAUGCUUCGGGUUCGGCCGCGCCAAUGCCCGCGCGGGCCGCGGUGCCUCCUGCCAGGGCUACGGCGCCGUCGCCGCCCAAGGUUGCGCCCCCUCCGCCGCAACGCACUUGGCCUAGGCAGAUGGCCGGUGGGCGGGGUGGUUCUGCUCAUGGCGCGGGUGGCCGCGGUACGGGAGCUUUUGCGGGAGACAGUGGCAAUCCUCCUCGUGGUCAUUGGGGUGACGAUGGUUUUAAUGCCUAUGGAGAAGGCCUUCAUCGAGGUUCGUCGUCUACCGGAGGUGGGCGCGGCUAUGCUUGGACAGAUCACGGGGCUACCGGUAGAGGUUUUCAAGGACCGUCGGGAAACUUUGCGGAGGGUGCAGUUGGCCCCAAUAACCGGUCAUGGCAACUACUGGCGCCCUCCUCCUUCGCGUCCUCUGCCUGCUGCUACAGGUUCAGCGACGAGCCUAGAGGAGGUGCCUACUGAUGGUUCGGGCCUUGGCCGAUGUGAUGGUGCCGGAGCCCAUUCAGCAUGGUAAUAAUGCGUCUGACACGGAAAAGUCCGGUGGUGACAAACCGUCCAAGUAGGCGAUUAAGAAGAAAAAGUUGACCUGUUUUCGUUGGAGUGAACCGGGACACGUUAUGGCUGAAUGCAUGGCUGAGUUAUGUGAUUUAUGCCGGAAACCGAAGCAUAUGGCGGCUGAGUGCCCGCUUCUUUUAGGGCCCAAGCCUUCAGUUAACAUCUAUGGGGUCUGUUGCUUAGAGUUGAUGUUCUCCGAGUCACCAAACACUAGUAGAAAACAGGGCUUUGGUCCAGGCCGGGUCAGCCCAUUAGUCCCGGUUCAGUCUAGAACCAGGACCAAUGUGGGCAUUGGUCCCGGUUCGUGAGCCCAGGGGGCUGGCCGGGCCACGUGGGCCAUUGGUCCCAGUUCAUCUGGACCUUUUGGUCCUGGUUGGUGGGAUGAACCGGGACCAAUGGGCCUCGCUCCUGGCCCACCACCAUUGGUCCCGGUUGGUGGCUUGAACCGGGACCAAAGGCUCCCCUUUAGUCCCGGCUCAUGUCACCAACCGGGACCAAUGAGGUGCCUAUAUAUACCCCCUCACGCAAGAGCAGAGCACAGUGCUCUGUUUUUUCUGGCCGAGGGGGAGAGGGCUUUGUGGUGCUCUAGCUCACCUCCUAUGCACAUGAGGUGUUCGAUGGAAUGCCCGAGCCACACUACUUAAGCUUUCUCCUCUCGAAGCUCGACCUCCAAGCUCCAUUUUCCUCGAGAUUUGUCUAGAUUUAGCGGUCCGUCACGCCCCGUCCUCGUCUUCACCGCCGUCGAUCACCCGCGUCGAUCUCAUCACCGACACCACCGUGGUGAGCCUCUUGUUCUUAUCUUCUUUCUGAAAGGAAAAUAUUCUUACUUGUAUGUUUAGAUAGAUACUUGUAUCAUUUUCUUACAUUUAUUAUUGCAUCUUAUAUAGUGCGAUGGUUUUGGUAUCCACCCCCAUCGGCCCUCGUCCUGUCUAUGAUUCGGAUGUGGUAUGUAUAUUAUCUUUAUAACUAUUGGUUCAUUUAUUGUUUAUGAAAAUUAUGCCGACCAACGUGACAUAUAUUUUAUUUAUCUAGGAUGUAUGUGAAUCGGAAAUGCCAACCGACCCUAUUGUCGAGAGGUUAAAUUUAGUUGAAGAAGAAAACAAUUUGUUGAAGGAAAAAUAAAAAAAAAAUUGAGGAGGAGAAGAUGAUAUUGGAGUUGCAUGUUGCGGAUUUCGUCGAUGAUCACAAGAUCAAGAUGGAUGCAAUGCGCUUGAAGAUUAGAAAGAUUAGAAAAUAUGCCAUUCAUACCGAGGCUUGGUAUCAUUAUGUCAUUGGAUCAAUUGUUACCUUGGUUGCCAUUAUGAUCGCAUUUGUUUUCGCAUUAAAAUGUUUUACAUAGUUUCAAUGUAUGGUUUAAUUAAUUAGAUGCUCUGGAGAGCUAUAUGUUGUUAGAUGAGAACUAUGUAUGCACUUUGGUUUUAAUGUGAUGAUGAACUUCUAUUAAUUUGGACACUUAAUUAUAUAUAAUGCACGCAGAUGAACCGGCAAUGGAUGUACGGUGACAGACACACCCGCGAGUACAUUAAGGGCGUGCAUGAGUUUCUCGAUGCGGCUGAGGAAAACAAGCAGAAUGGUUUUAUGUGUUGUCCAUGCACUGAAUGUGGGAAUACGAGGUCUUACUCUAACCGGAAAAUCCUUCACUCCCACCUGCUUUACAAGGGUUUCAUGCCACACUAUAAUGUUUGGACGAGGCACAGAGAAAUAGGGGUUAUGAUGGAAGACGGCGAAGAAGAAUACUACGAUGACAACUAUGUGCCCCCUGAAUACGGUGAUGCUGCAACGGGGGGAGCUGGUGAAGAUCAAGAGGAAUCAGACGAUGUGUCCAAUGAUGCUGCAACGGGUGAAGCUGCUGAAGAUCAAGAGGAGCCAGACGAUGUGCUCGAUGAUGAUGAUCUCCGCCGGGUCAUUGUUGAUGCAAGGACGCAAUGCAUUAGUCAAAAGGAGAAGCUGAAGUUCGAUCACAUGUUAGAGGUUCACAAAAAAGGGUUAUACCCCAAUUGCGAAGAUGGCAACACAAAGCUCGGUACCGUACUGGAAUUGCUGCAGUGGAAGGCAGAGAAUGCUGUGGCUGACAAAGGAUUUGAGAAGCUACUGAAAAUAUUGAAGAAGAAGCUUCCAAAGGAUAACGAAUUGCCCGACAGUACAUACGCAGCAAAGAAGGUCGUAUGCCCUCUGGGAUUGGAGGUGGAGAAGAUACAUGCAUGCCCUAAUGACUGCAUCCUCUACCGCGGUGCAUACAAGGAUCUGAACGCAUGCCCGGUAUGCAGUGCAUUGCGGUAUAAGAUCAGACGAGAUGACCCUGGUGAUGUUGACGGCGAGCCCCCCAGGAAGAGGGUUCCUGCGAAGGUGAUGUGGUAUGCUCCUAUAAUACCACGGUUGAAACGUCUGUUCAAAAAUGAAGAGCAUGCCAAGUUGAUGCGAUGCACAGUGAGAACCGAAAGAAAGAUGGGAAGUUGAGAGCACCCGCUGAUGGGUCGCAGUGGAGAAAAAUCGAGAGAUAGUACUGGGAUGAGUUUGCAAAGGACCCGAGGAAUGUAUGGUUUGCUUUAAAAGCGGAUGGCAUUAAUCCUUUUGGGGAGCAGAGCAGCAAUCACAGCACCUGGCCCGUGACUCUAUGUAUGUAUAAUCUUCCUCCUUGGAUGUGCAUGAAGCGGAAGUUCAUCAUGAUGCCAGUUCUCAUCCAAGGCCCUAAGCAACCCGGCAACGAAAUUGAUGUGUACCUAAGGCCAUUAGUUGAAGAACUUUUAUAGCCGUGGAAUGAAAAUGGUGUACAUACGUGGGAUGAGCAUAAACAGGAGGAAUUUAACCUUAAGGCGUUGCUGUUCGUGACCAUCAACGAUUGGCUCGCUCUCAGUAACCUUUCAGGACAAACAAACAAAGGAUACCACGCGUGCACGCACUGUUUAGAUGACACUGAAAGUAUAUACCUGGACAAAUGCAGGAAGAAUGUGUACCUGGGCCAUCAUCGAUUUCUUCCGACCAACCAUCAAUGUCGAAAGAAAGGCAAGCAUUUCAAAGGCGAGGCAGAUCACCGGAAGAAGCCCGCCAUGCGCACCGGUGAUCACGUGCUUGCUAUGGUCAAUGAUUUACACUACAUAAUCUUUGGAAAGGGUCCCGGUGGACUAGCUGUUCCGAAUGAUGCUGAGGGACACGCACCCAUGUGGAAGAAGAAAUCUAUAUUUUGGGACCUACCCUACUAGAAAGACCUAGAGGUCCGCUCCUCAAUCGACGUGAUGCACGUGACGAAGAACCUUUGCAUGAACCUGCUAGGCUUCUUGGGCAUGUAUGGGAAGACAAAAGAUACACCUGAGGCACGGGAGGACCUGCAACGUUUGCACGAAAAAGACGGCAUGCCUCCGAAGCAGUAUAAAGGUCCUGCCAGCUACGCUCUUACGAAAGAAGAGAAAGAAAUCUUCUUUGAAUGCCUGCUCAGUAUGAAGGUCACGAUUGGCUUCUCGUCGAAUAUAAAGGGAAUAAUAAAUAUGCCAGAGAAAAAGUUUCAGAACCUAAAGUCUCAUGACUGCCACGUGAUUAUGACGCAACUACUUUCGGUUGCAUUGAGGGGGCUUCUCCCGGAAAAUGUCCGAUUAGCCAUUGUGAAGCUAUGUGCAUUCCUCAAUGCAAUCUCUCAGAAGGUGAUCGAUCCAGAAAUCGUACCAAGGCUAAGGAGUGAUGUGGUGCAAUGUCUUGUCAGUUUCGAGCUGGUGUUCCCACCAUCCUUCUUCAAUAUCAUAACGCACGUCCUAGUUCAUCUAGUCAACAAGAUUGUCAUCCUGGGGCCCGUAUUUCUACACAAUAUGUUCCCCUUUGAGAGGUUCAUGGGAGUCCUAAAGAAAUAUGUCUGCAAUCAUGCUAGGCCAGAAGGAAGCAUCUCCAUGGGCCAUCAAAUAGAGGAUGUUAUCAGGUUUUGUGUUGACUUCAUUCCUGGCCUUAACAAGAUAGGUCUCCCUAAAUCGCAGUAUGAGGGGAGACUGACUGGAAAAGGCACUCUUGGAAGAGACUCAAUAAUAUGCAGGGACGAAUAUUCUUGGUCUCAAGCACACUACACAGUUCUACAGAACUCUACCUUGGUGACCCCGUAUGUCGAUGAACACAAGAACAGUCUGCGCUCCAAACACCCGGAGCAGUGCGACGACUGGAUUACAUGUGAACACAUCAGGACUUUCAGCAGUUGAUUGGAAACACGUCUCAGAGGUGACAACACUGUUUGUGAUGAGUUGUACUUGUUGUCCAGGGGACCAUCUUUGACUGUAUUGACUUACAAAGGAUACGAGAUAAAUGGGAAUACAUUUUACACGAUCGCCCAAGAUCAAAAGAGCACCAACCAAAAUAGCGGUGUCCGAUUUGAUGCAGCAACCGAGAGCAGAAAGGAUACAUAUUAUGGUUACAUAGUGGACAUAUGGGAACUUGACUACGGACCUGAUUUUAAGGUCCCUUUGUUUAAGUGCAAAUGGGUCAAUCUGUUAGGCGGCGGGGUAUAGGUAGACCCACAGUACGAAAUGACAACAGUGGAUCUGAAAAAUCUUGGGUACACUGACGAACCGUUCGUCCUAGCCAAUGAUGUAGCACAGGUUAUCUAUGUGAAGGACAUGUCUAUCAAACCGAGAAAAAGAAAAGAUAAGGAAGCGAAUACAUCAUACGAUGAGCCAAAGCGCCACAUAGUUCUUUCAGAAAAAAGGGACAUCCUAGGAGUGGACGGCAAGACAGACAUGUCUGAAGAUUAUGAAAAGUUUCAUGAAAUUCCUCCCUUCAAUGUCAAGGCUGACCCAAGCAUCCUGAUAAACAAUGAAGAUUAUCCAUGGUUACGGCGCAAUAAGCAAAUGACACAAGCGAAGAAAAAGUGAAGACUUUCUCCCGCAACUAUUAUGAUGAUACCAUGCCAAAUUUGUGACACACGAGUAUGCUAUGCCAACUUUUUCAGAGUUCAUUUGAAAACUAUGAAUUUAGGUCGAAUUUUCUCUAUAGGUGCAUCUAUGUUCAAAUUUUAACUAUUCAAAUUUGAAAACUAAUGGCACUAACAGAAAGUUUAUAUUUUUUCUAAAACUAAUGGCACUAACAGAAAGUUUAUAAUUUUGCUAACCUAAAAGCAAAAAGAAUUAAAAAAUAAAGCAAAAAACAAAAGAAAAUAAAUAAUACAGAAAACAAAACAAAAAAACUGGAACAAAAAUAAAAAUAGCAACAAUAAGUAUUUUGUUGUAAGUAGAAAGAANNNNNNNNNNNNNNNNNNNNNNNNNNNNNNNNNNNNNNNNNNNNNNNNNNNNNNNNNNNNNNNNNNNNNNNNNNNNNNNNNNNNNNNNNNNNNNNNNNNNNNNNNNNNNNNNNNNNNNNNNNNNNNNNNNNNNNNNNNNNNNNNNNNNNNNNNNNNNNNNNNNNNNNNNNNNNNNNNNNNNNNNNNNNNNNNNNNNNNNNNNNNNNNNNNNNNNNNNNNNNNNNNNNNNNNNNNNNNNNNNNNNNNNNNNNNNNNNNNNNNNNNNNNNNNNNNNNNNNNNNNNNNNNNNNNNNNNNNNNNNNNNNNNNNNNNNNNNNNNNNNNNNNNNNNNNNNNNNNNNNNNNNNNNNNNNNNNNNNNNNNNNNNNNNNNNNNNNNNNNNNNNNNNNNNNNNNNNNNNNNNNNNNNNNNNNNNNNNNNNNNNNNNNNNNNNNNNNNNNNNNNNNNNNNNNNNNNNNNNNNNNNNNNNNNNNNNNNNNNNNNNNNNNNNNNNNNNNNNNNNNNNNNNNNNNNNNNNNNNNNNNNNNNNNNNNNNNNNNNNNNNNNNNNNNNNNNNNNNNNNNNNNNNNNNNNNNNNNNNNNNNNNNNNNNNNNNNNNNNNNNNNNNNNNNNNNNNNNNNNNNNNNNNNNNNNNNNNNNNNNNNNNNNNNNNNNNNNNNNNNNNNNNNNNNNNNNNNNNNNNNNNNNNNNNNNNNNNNNNNNNNNNNNNNNNNNNNNNNNNNNNNNNNNNNNNNNNNNNNNNNNNNNNNCGCCGUCGCUGCCCCAUGCCGCCCCGACGCCGUCGCCGCCGCCUUCGAUGCCAUCUGCCCCGACGCCGGCGCCGCUCCCCUCUGUGAGCACCUGCCGCCUUGCCCUUCUGCCCCGCCGGCGCCACCAUGUUUUUUUUCAUAUGUUGCAAUAUGUUUUUUUAUUUUUAUUAGUUUAUUUUUUUGUUCAUAUGUGAUGUAUAUGUGUAUGUGGCUAUAAUGUAUAUGUGUAUGUGAUGUAUGUGGCUAGAAUUUGCUAAAUAUAUAUGAUUUUUUUAGGUUAUUUUCAUUUGUAGAAUUUUUUGUUCAUAUAUGGAUAUUUAGGGGGUCGAGGGUCGAGAACUAGUUUAGGGGGUCGAGGGUCGAUAACUAGUUUAGGGGGUCGAGGGUCAAGAACGUCGGACAUUCAUGAGAGAGGCGGGGAAGAAGGGGAAGAAGAGGGAGAAGAAGAGGAAGAAGAAUAAAAAGAGGAGAAGAAAGAAUAGAGGAGAAGAAGUUCUUCUCCUCUAUUCUUUCUUCUCUUCUUUUUUCUUCUUCUUCUUCCUCUUCUUUUUUUAUCGGAACGAGGGUCNNNNNNNNNNNNNNNNNNNNNNNNNNNNNNNNNNNNNNNNNNNNNNNNNNNNNNNNNNNNNNNNNNNNNNNNNNNNNNNNNNNNNNNNNNNNNNNNNNNNNNNNNNNNNNNNNNNNNNNNNNNNNNNNNNNNNNNNNNNNNNNNNNNNNNNNNNNNNNNNNNNNNNNNNNNNNNNNNNNNNNNNNNNNNNNNNNNNNNNNNNNNNNNNNNNNNNNNNNNNNNNNNNNNNNNNNNNNNNNNNNNNNNNNNNNNNNNNNNNNNNNNNNNNNNNNNNNNNNNNNNNNNNNNNNNNNNNNNNNNNNNNNNNNNNNNNNNNNNNNNNNNNNNNNNNNNNNNNNNNNNNNNNNNNNNNNNNNNNNNNNNNNNNNNNNNNNNNAGAAGAAUAAAAAGAGGAGAAGAAAGAAUAGAUGAGAAGAACUUCUUCUCCUCUAUUCUUUCUUCUCCUCUUUUAAUUCUUAUUCUUCCUCUUCUUUUUUUAUUGGGAACGAGGGCAUGUCGAGAGUGUCGUCGAGCAGUCGAGGGUCGGGAAACUAGGGCUUACCCGAAGAAGGAGAAGAAGAGAAGAGGAAGAAGAGGAGAAAAAAAGGAAAAGGAAAAAAAGAGGAAGAAGAAGAAAAAAAAGAGGAGAAGAAGAAGGAAUAGAGGAGAAGACUUUGUCAGUUCUUCUUCUCCUCUAGCUAUUCCUUUCUUCUUCUCCUCUUUCUUCUUCUUCUUCUUCUUCUUCUUCUUCUUCUUCUUCUUCUUCUUCUUCUUCUUCUUCUUCUUCUUCUUCUUCUUCUUCUUCUUCUUCUUCUUCUUCUUCUUCUUCUUCUUAAUUUUUAUCGGGGGUUUGAGGGUUCGAGGGGUCGAGGAUCGCCGAGGGGUGAGAGAGGUUUCCUAGUGUCAAAGUAUUGAAGAAAUACAUUCCUUCAUCAUUAGCCGGAAGUAACCAGGGCAUGUUGGUACGAAGUUCUGCAAAGUUGUUCUGGAAUGGAGUCCCGGAUAGAAUAAUCCGCCUUUUGGUACGAAUUCAACAAAGGCCUUCCAAAUAGCGAUAUUCGGAAGGCUCUUGCUGAACUUUGUACCAAAAAGCGAAUUAUCCUAUCUGGGACUCCGUUCCAGAACAACUUUGAAGAGCUUCGUACCAUCAUGCACAUGUUACUUUCGCCUAAUGAUGAAGACAUGGUUUUGUUGAAUCUUUUGACACUACGCAACCUCCUGACCCCUCGGCGAUCCUCUCGAAAAUGAGAGGAAGAAGAGGGUCGUCUAGGGGUCGAGGGUUCCAGGGUCGUCGAGGGUUCGAGGGGUCGAGGAUCACCGAGGGGUCGAGAGAGGUUUCCUAGUGUCAAAUUAUUGAAGAAAUCCAUGCCUUCAUCAUUAGCCGGAAGUAACCAGGGCAUGUUGGUACGAAGUUCUGCAAAGUUGUUCUGGAAUGGAGUCCCGGAUAGGAUAAUCCGCCUUUUGGUACGAAUUCAGCAAAGGCCUUCCAAAUAGCGAUAGUCGGAAGGCUCUUGCUGAACUUUGUACCAAAAAGCGAAUUAUCCUAUCUGGGACUCUGUUCCAGAACAACUUUGAAGAGCUUCGUACCAUCAUGCACAUGUUACUUUCGCCUAAUGAUGAAGACAUGGUUUUGUUGAAUCCUUUGACACUAGGCAACCUCCCGACCCCUUGGCGAUCCUCUCGAACAUGAGAGGAAGAAGAGGAUAAAAAAAGAAGAGGAAGAAGAAAAAAAAGAGGAGAAGAAAGAAUAGAGGAGUUCUUCUCCUCUAUUCUUUCUUCUCCUCUUUUUUUUCUUCUUCUUCCUCUUUUUUUUAUCGGGAACGAGGGUCGUCGAGGGACAUAGAUGUAGUGUCGUCGUUGUCGAUAUAUACCCCCUCCCGAUAGCUUACUAUGAUUAGGUAGCUAGUUCUACGUUUGGCACUAAUAUAUCCAUCUGUCAUGUUUGAAUAAUAAUUGCCAUGUUGUAAAUAUUUGUAGAAACUAUGGACACCGCCCUAGACGAAGCAAAAGAAGCGUUGUUGAGGGACAUAAUCGCAGAAGGAAGUGAUGACGUCUCGUUUUUUCUCAACGAAACCGAUGGUCUGGAAGGAGAGGGUGAACAAGCUGGCUACGGUGACCUAAUGCCGGUGGAAGAAGAAGAACAUGAGGACUGCUCCGGUGACCCAAUGCCGGUGCAAGAAGGAGACCGUGAUGACGGCUCCGAUGACCGAACCGAGUCCGGCCAGGUAUAUAUAUUAGUUAAGCCUGUGCUGACUAGCUGAUUGAUGCAUUCAUUGUUUUGGUAUGUACACAUAUUAAUUAAGUCUUUGUUCUUUUUUUAGCCCUCCGGAUCGAGCACAACUUCGGUAAAGAGACGAGGCCCGAAGAAAAAGUUGAGCUCGGAUGAAAAGUUUGAGAUCACAGCAAUCGCGCCCGACGGCCAACCGAUUGAACCCAUCCGAACAAAGAACGCAUUUGUUGCUCAGUGCGGGGUUCUGGUUAGGGACAAGAUCCCGAUAAGCAUCCAGCAAUGGUUUAAGCCGGCUACAGAAGACCUUGAGGUGUCUUAUGGCAAUGAUAUGCAGAAAAAUGAUCUUUGGACUAAGCUGAAGUCAAAUUUCACCCUAUCGCCAGAGGAUAAUCCAGAGAACCCAGUUAAAGAGCAAUUAAUCAAGUCUUUUGCUCUUAAGAGGAUGGCAGAACUAUUCAGGAGGUGGAAGAAAGAACUGAAUAAGUUUGUCAAAAAUAAUGAGGCACCAGAAUUCAAGGGCAGAUAUGAGAGGAUCAGAGAUCACUGGCCCGCAUUUGUGGCUCACAAGACAUCGGAAAAGAAUAAGAAGAUGUCGGUGACAAACAAGCAAAAUGCUGCGAAGAAGAAGCUUCACCAUCGCACGGGGUCAGGUGGCUACCUCGUAGCCCGGCCUAAGUGGGCCAAGACUGAGAAUGAUCUGGUUGGUAAAGGGAUUGAACCAGAGACAAUUACCUGGCUAGACCGUUGCCGGACUUGGUUCUUCGGGGCUGGCGGAACCUUGGACCCUGUAACAGGGAAGUGCAUUUGGACGAACGAUCAAAUGGACAUACCAGUCAGGAAGCUUAAGCAGUAUAUCGAAGCAGCACAGCAAGGGAAGUUCUUUCCAGACAGAGAGAACGACGAGCUCACAAUGGCCCUCGGGAAUCCUGAGCACCCUAGACGGACACGAGGCACGCCAGGCUCCAUUCCAUGGAAGGUUGGUUUUCCGGACGUAGGCGGUUACAAAUCCCAUGAGAGGAGGAAAAAAGUGCAGCAGACCCAAAUGCAGGCGCUGCAAGCAAGGGUAGACGCGAUAGAGGAACGAGAAGCAAAUCGCAGCAAACGUACUGUCGAAGCCUCCCCCGAAGCUACCCCGCCAUCUCAGCGCAGAAGCAGCAUGGCUUCCACCGAGCUGCUUCAGCCGGAGCAUGCCUUGAUGGCUCCUGCCAGCUAUCCCGUGGAUGCUAUCACGGAGUCUCAAAAUUGCCACCUUAUGACGCAAUGGAUGAAUUUGAAGGUCAAGGCGGCUAUUGGCUCUGUUUAUCCUACUGAACCCGGCGCAACUUUUCACUGCCGGCCGAUUCCAGAAGGAUAUGCUAGGGUGAUGGUGGAUGAAAUAACGAAGGGAUUUGAGGACCUCCAGCUUGACCACCCUACCGGUGAAGGGGAGACUCGGCUGGGGUCUGCUCUCAAGACUCCAUGCCUAUGGUGGAAGGAGCUCAUCAACCUUCUGAACUGGACGCCUCCGCCUCCUCCUCCUCCUCCGGCGAGUCAGGGCACUCCGCCUCCUCCACUGCCUCCUCCUUCAGCGAGUGACGAUCAGGGCCCUCGGCCGGCUCCUUCUCCGACGCAUGGCGGCACUCCGCCUCCUUCUCCGCUUGCGCCGACGCGCCCGAGCAGCUAACUUCCUCCUUCUCCGUCUCGUCAGCAAGGGCAGAAGAGACCUGCCGCCGCUCCAGCUGCUCCGGCGCGUCGUAGUCCUUCUCCUCCGCCUCGUAAGCAAGUAAAGAAGACAACCGCUCCGUCUGCUCGGUCAGCGUCUAGCAGUACAACCAGAGGCGGGAGGACAUACAGAUUCGGUCCUGCUCUGAAGACUCCAGAGAAGUUACCAUAUGAGAGGACCCCGGAGGAGAACGCUGAGAUCGCGCGAACCGAAGUGGAUGACUGGUUUCAAGGGUUGAGAGCAAAGAGACAUCCACCUCCAGAGGAGAAGGUAGAUCCGGUGAAAGUGAAGCGCACUCUGGCUGCCCUGGCAAAACCACCCAAGUCUCCGCUAAAAGGCAAUUAUGAGCGCAUUAUUGCAAAGACAUGGGCCGAAGCGGAGCGGUCGGGAAGUACAGUCAGUGAUCAAAGGCUGAAAGAACGACGAGCAGCUGGGAAACAAAUUGCCCAGCUCGGCGAACAAGCGAAGCAAUCGUGCCCCCCCUCAAGGUGCCUAGCGACAUCGUCGAUCCGAGGAUGGUGCCCGGUUAUGGCAAUAUUGACGAUUACCUGCCUGACGAUGUACAUUAUGAUCCCAUGGAGGUGCAGAUACACAGAUACGAGUACGGGAAGCCUCUCAUCAAAGAUGAAAAAUCUUUAACAACGAUGAUGCGAAGAUUACAUGAUUGGUACUUGAAAAUCUGUAGAGAGUCUGGGGGGAGGAGUACUUUGUAUGCGAGAGUUAAACCGGAGCAUGACCUCGUUGGAAUUGAACUGUUGCCUAUUCCAUUUGAGGAGUUCUAUCAGUUUUUCAAUCAAUUGGCCCUCGAUAAAGCAACGAUCACCUGCUACUAUCUGUAAGUACUACUACUUCUGUCAUUAAGUCUCUCUAUAUAGCUCAUCUCUUUCAUUGCAUGUAUUUAAAAUUAUCCUCACUAUAUUAUGCAGAAUGAAGAUCGCCGAAUUGAAGAAAAGACAAAUCUGUGAUAUUGGGUUCAUUAACACAUAUCUCAUAGAUGCAACUGAGGUUCAACAUCGUCCCGGAGAUACCGAGGCCAACUUGCUACGAUCAUUCAAAAAAAAUGAAAACAAAGAUAUAAUACUCUUUCCUUACAACUUCAAGUGAGUGUUACUGUCUUGUGCAUAUUCGGUUUCCCUUAUAUAUUAGUCUAGGUUAUAGUAAUGUAACUGAUGAGUUAUGCAUGCGUGUGCAGAUUCCACUAUAUUCUCCUAGAGAUUAGGCUUGAGCAGGGAGUAGUAACCGUCUUGGACUCUAAACGAAAAGAUCCCCAGGAGUAUGCGGACAUGACUGAUAUCCUCAAGAAGUAAGUUAAAUCAAUCAUUAUCCACCAUAUCAGCAACUUUGUUCAUUUCCUGAUAUCAAGUAAUUGUUUUCUUUGUCCGGCAGGGUUUGGAGAAAAUUCACCAAAACAGUCUCGGGACUGCCGAAGGAGCUGGAAUUUAGACACCCGAAAGUAAGUACUAUAGUAGCAUGUUCCGCGCAUCUCCUAGUGAUUCAAGCGCUAGUUUCAUCAAUACCAUUUAGCAUUCUUGCUUAUCAGUUUGAUUGACCUCUAUUUCUUGUAAAGUGAUUGUGGCAGGAAAAAGGGAAUGAUUUCUGUGGAUACUGCGUCUGCGAGUCCAUCCGCCACACGACCUCUGAGCGGGGCGGGUACUCUGACGAACAAUAUGAAGUACGUAAAUAACAACAUUCACAAUUUUAUUUUAUUACCAUCAUUUGUAUUGAGUUUCAUUCAUUCAUAUAUAUAUGUAUUGACCCCCUUCUUCAAAUUAGAUGUUUCGGAAGCGGGAUGAACUCCUAGCACCAGCUCGCAUGCGAGCAACCCUUCUUCAAAUAAGAUGUUUCGGAAGCGGGAUGAACUCCUAGCACCAGCUCGCAUGCGAGCAAUUCAAGAGGAAUUGGCGGCAUUCUUUCUUGACCAAGUGAUCGCUGAAGAUGGAGAAUACUAUGUGGACCAUGAGUCCGUAUGAUUAUAUUUGUACGAGAUAAUUAUUGUAUAUAUGUAGCCGGUAGUGUCGGAUAUAUCAUAGAUAUACGAGAACUUGUUGUUCGACCAAUCUCUCGGAGAAGGAGAGGUGAUCGAUAUCACUUCUCUCUGUAUGCAUAUAUGUUCAUGACGAUCUUCUGUUUCCUUCGUUUGCUUACUAGCUAACUAGCGUGUCUAGUCCUCUCUAUACGUAUGUAUAGUACGUAGCGUCGACCAAGCACGGACGUAAGAGAGGACACUUCUCUCUAUUAAUUAUAGCUAGCUAACACAAUAUAUGAAACACCUAAAUUAACCCCCCAAAACCCCCAACCCCCCCCUUCAAAACAAAAAAAAACCCAGCCACAGAAAUGCUGACGCGUGGAUGCCUAUUGGUCCCGGUUGGUGCCACCAACCGGGACCAAAGGGUCUCCUGCCUGGGCUCUGCGCACUGCCCACGUGGAGGGCCUUUAGUCCCGGUUCUGGAUUGAACCGGGACUAAAGGGGGGAGGUAUUAGUACCGACACUUUAGUCCCGGUUCCGGAACCGGGACUAAAGGCCCUUACGAACCGGGACUACAGGCCCUUUUUCUACCAGUGAAAUGUGGCACCUGUGACACCCGUGAUUGAAACUUCCUUCCCAGGUGUGGUGAAGGUGGUUCAUGGCCCUCUGACUGAAGCUCAAAUUAUUCAGCAGUUACGGGAGUUGGCACCGGGUAAUUUUCAGUGGUCUUUGCUGAAGUUAACAUAUCAGACUUACAAAGUGGAGUUUCCUUCUAAAGAGGAUCAGUUGAGAAUCCUCAAAUUUGGCAUGUGUAGAGUCACUGGAACAAGUUUUGUGUUGCAGUUUGAUGAGUGGAAAAAGAAGGAGCCUCAGGGUACGCUGAUACGUCUCCAACGUAUCUAUAAUUUUUUAUUGCUCCAUGCUAUAUUAUCUUCUGUUUUGGACAUUAUUGGGCUUUAUUAUCCACUUUUAUAUUAUUUUUGGGACUAACCUAUUGACCCAGAGCCCAGUGCCAGUCCCUAUUUUUCCCUUGUUUCAGUCUUUCGAAGAAAAGGAAUAUCAAACGGAGUCGAAACGGAAUGAAACCUUCUAGAGAAGUUAUUUUUGGAAGGAAACCAACCCGGGAGACUUGGAGUCCAGGUCAAGAAAGCAACGAGGAAGCCACAAGGCAGGGGGGCGCGCCCACCCCCCUGGGCACGCCCUCCACCCUCGUGGGCCCCUUGUGGCUCCCCUGACGUACUUCUUCCUCCUAUAUAUACCCAUAUACCCUAAAACUAUCGGGGAGCACAAUAGAUCGGGAGUUCCGCCGCCAGAAGCCUCCAUAGCCACUGAAAACCAAUCUAGACCCGUUCCGGCACCCUGCCGGAGGGGGGAAUCCCUCUCCGAUGGCCAUCUUCAUCAUCUCGGCGCUCUCCAUGACAAGGAGGGAGUAGUUCUCCCUCGGGGCUGAGGGUAUGUACCAGUAGCUAUGUGUUUGAUCUCUCUCUCUCUGUUCUUGAGGUGUUACGAUCUUGAUGUAUCGCGAGCUUUGCUAUUAUAGUUGGAUCUUAUGAUGUUUUCUCCCCCCUCUACUCUCUUGUAAUGGAUUGAGUUUCCCCUUUGAAGUUUUCUUAUCGGAUUGAGUCUUUAAAGAUUUGAGAACACUUGAUGUAUGUCUUGCCGUGCAUAUUUGUGGUGACAAUGGGAUAUCACGUGAUUCACUUGAUGUAUAUUUUGGUGAUCAACUUGCGGGUUCCGCCCAUGAACCUAUGCAUAGGGGUUGGCACACGUUUUCGUCGUGAUUCUUCGGUAGAAACUUUGGGCACUCUUUGAGGUUCUAUGUGUUGGUUGAAUAGAUGAAUCUGAGAUUGUGUGAUGCAUAUCGUAUAAUCAUACCCACGGAUAGUUGAGGUGACAUUGGAGUAUCUAGGUGACAUUAGGGUUUUGGUUGAUUUGUGUCUUAAGGUGUUAUUCUAGUACACACUCUAGGGAUGUUUGUGACACCUAUAGGAAUAGCCCAACAGAUUGAUUGGAAAGAAUAACUUUGAGGUGGUUUCAUACCCUACCAUAAUCUCUUCGUUUGUUCUCCGCUAUUAGUGACUUUGGAGUGACUCUUUGUUGCAUGCUGAGGGAUAGUUAUGUGAUCCAAUUAUGUUAUUAUUGUUGAGAGAACUUGCACUAGUCAAAGUAUGAACCCUAGGCCUUGUUUCCUAGCAUUGCAAUACCGUUUACGCUCACUUUUAUCUUAGUUACCUUGCUGUUUUUAUAUUCUCAGAUUACAAAAACCGUUAUCUACUAUCCAUAUACCACUUGUAUCACCAUCUCUUCGCCGAACUAGUGCACCUAUACAAUUUACCAUUGUAUUGGGUGUGUUGGGGACACAAGAGACUCUUUGUUAUUUGCUUGCAGGGUUGCUUGAGAGAGACCAUCUUCAUCCUAUGCCUCCUACGGAUUGAUAAACCUUAGGUCAUCCACUUGAGGGAAAUUUGCUACUGUCCUACAAACCUCUGCACUUGGAGGCCCAACAACGUCUACAAGAAGAAGGUUGUGUAGUAGACAUCAAGCUCUUUUCUGGCGCAUUGCCGGGGAGGUGAGUGCUUGAAGGUAUAUCUUUAGAUCUUGCAAUCGAAUCUUUUUGUUUCUUGUUUUAUCACUAGUUUAGUUUAUCAAACAAAACUACAAAAAAUGGAAUUAAGUUUGCCUCAUACGCUUCAUCUUUUUAAUAUCUUUCGUGAGUAUGAUGGAAAGGAAAAUUGUGCCAAAGUAUUAGAAGAAGAAUGCAUUAAUAUGUUUGGCACUAAAUAUUUGAAUGAUGAGCAUGAUUGCAAUGUUGUUAGUAUGAAUUCCUUAAAUAUCCAUGAUGCUAAUGAUAUGCAAAGCCACAAGCUUGGGGAAGCUAUGUUUCAUGAAGAUGAUAUUUUUUUCUCCCCCAAGUUUUGAUGAGCAAAUUUAUUAUGAUGAAAGCAUGCCUCCUAUUUAUGAUGAUUAUAUUGAUGAAAGUGGAUUUGGAGAGGUCAUGACUUUAUUUAGUGAUGAAUCCACUAUUUCGGAAGAGGUUCCAAUUGAUUAUGAGAACAAAGUUGCUAUUUAUGAUGAUUAUUGUGAUGACUUGUAUGCUAUAAAGAAUAAUGAUAACCAUGAAACUUGUCAUCAUGAUUUUAGUUUUCAAUUGGAUUAUGCCUCACAUGAUAGUUAUUUUGUUGAGUUUGCUCCCACUACUAUUCAUGAGAAGAAUUUUGCUUAUGUGGAGAGUAAUAAAAUUUCUAUGCUUGUAGAUCAUGAAAAGAAUGCUUUAGGUGAUGGUUAUAUUGUUGAAUUCAUUCAUGAUGCUACUGAAAAUUAUUAUGAGGGAGGAAUAUAUACUUGUAGGAAUUGCAAUAAUAUCAAGUUUCCUCUCUUUGUGCUUAAAGUUUCAAAGUUAUGCUUGUUUUGCCUUCCUAUGCUAGUUGAUUAUUGUUCUCAUAAGUUAUUUGCUCACAAAAUCCCUAUGCAUAGGAAGUGGGUUAGACUUAAAUUUGCUAGUCAUAUUCUUUAUGACGCUCUAUUUAUGUUUCAAUUCUUAUCUUUUAUGUGAGCAUCAUUGAAAUCAUCAUGCCUAGCUAGGGGCGUUAAACGAUAGCGCUUGUUGGGAGGCAACCCAAUUUUAUUUUCGUUCCUUGCUUUUUGUUCCUGUUUAGUAAUAAAAAAUUAAUCUAGACUCUUUUUAGAUGUGGUUUGAUGCUUUUAAUUAGUUUUUGUGCCAAGUAGAACCUUUGGGAAGACUUGGGGAAUGUCUUUGCGAUCAUGCUGUAAAAAACAAAAACUUUAUCGCUCACGAGAAUUGCUGCCAUUUUUUAUUGGAGGGUGAUAUUUAGUUAAUUAUUUUUGAAUAAUAUUAAUAGACAAAUUACUCAGGUCCACCAAUUUAUGUUAGAAUUUUAUGAGUUUCAGAAGUAUACGUUUGAUACAGAUUACUACAGACUGUUCUGUUUUUGAUAGAUUCUGUUUUCUAUGUGUUGUUUGCUUAUUUUGAUGAAUCUAUGAGUAGUAUCGGAGGGUAUGAACCAUAGAUAAGUUGGAAUAAAGUAGAUAUUACACCAAUAUAAAUAAAGAAUGAGUUCAUUACAGUACCUUGAAGUGGUGUUUUGUUUUCUUUCGCUAACAGAACUUACGAGUUUUCCGUUAAGUUUUGUGUUGUGAAGUUUUCAAGUUUUGGGUAAAGAUUCGAUGGACUAUGGAAUAAGGAGAGGCCAGAGCGUAAGCUUGGGGAUGCCCAAGGCACCACAAGGUAAUAUUUAAGGACAACCAAAAGCCUAAUCUUGGGGAUGCCCCGGAUGGCAUCCCUUCUUUCGUCUUCGUUCAUCGGUAACUUUACUUGGGGCUAUAUUUUUAUUCGCCACAUGAUAUGUGUUUUGUUGGAGCAUCAUUUUAUUUUAUUUAGUUUUGCUUGCUGUUUGAAUAAAAUACCAAGAUCUGAAAUUCUUAAAUGUUAGAGAGUCUUCACAUAGUUGCAUAAUUAUUCGACUACUCAUUGAUCUUCACUUAUAUCUUUCGGAGUAGUUUGUCAUUUGCUCUAGUACUUCACUUAUAUCUUUUUAGAGCACGGUGGUGCUUUUAUUUUGAAGAAAUAGAUGAACUCUCGUGCUUCACUUAUAUUAUUUUGAGAGUCUUUAGAACAGCAUGGUAGUUUGCUUUGGUAUGAAACUAGUCCUAAUAUGAUGGGCAUCCAAGAGGGAUAUAAUAAAAACUUUCAUAUAAGUGCAUUGAAUACUAAGAGAAGUUUGAUACUUGAUGAUUGUUUUGAGAUAUGGAGAUAGUGAUAUCAAAGUUGUGCUAGUUGGGUAGUUUUGAAUUUGAGGAAUACUUGUGUUGAAGUUUGCAAGUCCCGUAGCAUGCACGUAUGGUAAACGUUGUGUAAAAAAUUUAAAUCAUGAGGUGUUAUUUGAUUGUCUUCCUUAUGAGUGGCGGUCGGGGACGAGCGAUGGUAUUUUCCUACCAAUCUACCCCCCUAGGAGCAUGCGCGUAAUGCUUGGUUUUUGAUGACUUGUAGAUUUUUUCAAUAAGUAUGUGAGUUCUUUAUGACUAAUGUUGAGUCCAUGGAUUAUACGCACUCUCACCAUUCCAUCAUUGCUAGCCUCUUCGGUACCGUGCAUUGCCCUUUCUCACAUUGAGAGUUGGUGCAAACUUCGCCGGUGCAUACAAACCCCGUGAUAUGAUACGCUCUGUCACACAUAAACCUCCUUAUAUCUCCCUCAAAACAGCCACCAUACCUACCUAUUAUGGCAUUUCCAUAGACAUUCCGAGAUAUAUUGCCAUGCAACUUUCCACCGUUCCGUUUAUUAUGACACGCAUCAUCAUUGUCAUAUUGCUUUGCAUGAUCAUGUAGUUGACAUCAUAUUUGUGGCAAAGCCACCAUUCGUAAUUUUUCAUACAUGUCGCUCUUGAUUCAUCGCAAUCCCGGUAUGCCGCCGGAGGCAUUCAUAUAGAGUCAUAUCUUGUUCUAGUAUCGAGUUGUAAUCUUUGAGUUGUAAAUAAAUAGAAGUGUGAUGAUCAUUAUUAAUAGACCAUUGUCCGGAAAAAAGGGCCAAAAAAAGUCAAAAAAAUGCCAAAGAAAAAAAGAAAAAAAGGCCAAAUAAAAAAAUUAAAAAAUGAAAGGGACAAUGUUACUAUCCUUUUACCACGCUUGUGCUUCAAAGUAGCACCAAGAUCUUCAUGAUAGAGAGUCUCUUAUGUUGUCACUUUCAUAUACUAUUGGGAAAUUUUCAUUAUAGAACUUGGCUUGUAUAUUCCAACAAUGCUCCUCAAGUGCCCUAGGUCUUCGUGAGCAAGAAAGUUGGAUGCACACCCACUUAGUUUCUUGUUUCUUUUGUUGAGCUUUCAUACAUUUAUAUCUCUAGUGCAUCUGUUGCAUGGCAAUCCCUACUCCUUGCAUUGACAUCAAUUUAUGGGCAUCUCCCUAGCCCAUUGAUUAGCCGCGUCGAUGUGAGACUUCAUCAUUUUUGUCUUCUCCACAUAACCCCCUCAUUAUAUUCUAUUCCACCCAUAGUGCUAUAUCCAUGGCUCACGCUCAUGUAUUGCAUGAAAGUUGAAAAAAGUUUGAGAUUACUAAAGUAUGAAACAUUUGCUUGGCUUGUCAUCGGGGUUGUCCAUGAUGAGAGCAUUCUUGUGUGACGAAAAUGAAGCAUGACUAAACUAUAUGAUUUUGUAGGGAUGAACUUUCUUUGGCCAUGUUAUUUUGAGAGGGCAUAAUUGCUUAGUUAGUAUGCUUGAAGUAUUAUUAUUUUUAUGUCAAUAUGAACUUUUAUCUUGAAUCUUUCGGAUCUGAAUAUUCAUACCACAAUUAAGAAGAAUUACAUUGAAAUUAUGGUAAGUAGCACUCUGCAUCAAAAAUUCUGUUUUUAUCAUUUACCUACUCGAGGACGAGCAAGAAUUAAGCUUGGGGAUGCUGAUACGUCUCCAACGUAUCUAUAAUUUUUGAUUGCUCCAUGCUAUAUUAUCUUCUGUUUUGGACAUUAUUGGGCUUUAUUACCCACUUUUAUAUUAUUUUUGGGACUAACCUAUUGACCCAGAGCCCAGUGCUAGUUCCUGUUUUUCCCUUGUUUCAGUGUUACAAAGAAAAGGAAUAUCAAACGGAGUCGAAACAGAAUGAAACCUUCUGGAGAAGUUAUUUUUGGAAGGAAAGCAACCCGGGAGACUUGGAGUCCACGUCAAGAAAGCAACGAGGAAGCCACGAGGCAGGGGGCGCGCCCUCCACCCUCGUGGGCCCCACGUGGCUCCCCUAACGUACUUCUUCCUCCUAUAUAUACCCAUAUACCCUAAAACUACCGAGGAACAUGAUGACCCACAAGUAUAGGGGAUCUAUCAUAGUCCUUUCGAUAAGUAAGAGUGUCGAACCCAACGAGGAGCAGAAGGAAAUGAUAAGCGGUUUUCAGCAAGGUAUUCUCUGCAAGUACCGAAAUAAGUGGUAACAGAUAGUUUUGUGAUAGGAUAAAUUGUAACGAGCAACAAGUAACAAAAGUAAAUAAAGUGCAGCAAGAUGUCCCAAUCCUUUUCAAGAAAAGGACAAGCCGAAACAAACUCUUAUAAUAGGAAAAGCGCUCCUGAGGACACAUGGGAAUAUCGUCAAGCUAGUUUUCAUCACGUUCAUAUGAUUCGCGUUCGAUACUUUGAUAAUUUGAUAUGUGGGUGGACCGGUGCUUGGGUGUUGUUCUUACUUGAACAAGCAUCCCACUUAUGAUUAACCUCUAUUGCAAGCAUCCGCAACUACAACAAAAGUAUUAAGGUAAACCUAACCAUAGCAUGAAACAUAUGGAUCCAAAUCAGCCCCUUACGAAGCAACGCAUAAACUAGGGUUUAAGCUUCUGUCACUCUAGCAACCCAUCAUCUACUUAUUACUUCCCAAUGCCUUCCUCUAGGCCCAAAGAAUGGUGACGUGUUAUGUAGUCGACGUUCACAUAACACCACUAGAGGAUAGACAACAUACAUCUUAUCAAAAUAUCAAACGAAUACCAAAUUCACAUGACUACUCAUAGCAAGACUUCUCCCUUGUCCCCAGGAACGAACGUAAUUACUCACAGAGCAUAGUCAUGUUCAUAAUCAGAGGGGUAAUAAUAUGCAUAUAGGAUCUGAACAUAUGAUCUUCCACCAAAUAAACCAACUAGCAUCAACUACAAGGAGUAAUCAACACUACUAGCAACCUACUAGCACCAAUCCCGGACUUUGAGACAAGAAUUGGAUACAAUAGAUGAACUAGGGUUUGGAGAUGAGAUGGUGCUGGUGAAGAUGUUGAUGGAGAUUGCCCUCUCCCGAUGAGAGGAGCGUUGGUGAUGACGAUGGUGAUGAUUUCCCCCUCCCGGAGGGAUGUUUCCCCGGCAGAAUAGCUCUGCCGGAGCUCUAGAUUGGAUCCGCCAAGGUUCCGCCUCGUGACGGCGGAGUCUCGUCCCGAAAAGUUCCUUCUUCUUUUUUCUCAUCGAAAGACCACAUAUAGGAGAAGAUGGGCGUCGGAGAGCCACCAGGGGGCCCACGAGGUAGGGGGCGCGCCCCCCACCCUCGUGAGCAGGGUGUGGGCCCCCUGGCCUUCAUCUUUGGCGUGGAUUUUUCUUUAUUUCUUUUAAGAUGUUCCGUGGAGUUUCAGGACUUUUGGAGUUGCGCAGAAUAGGUCUCUAAUAUUUGCUCCUUUUCCAGACCAGAAUUCCAACUGCUGGCAUUCUCCCUCCUUUUGUAAACCUUGUAACACUACUAGGAAAAGGCCUACUAAUGGCGCACCUAAUUUGGCCAUUAAUGGCGCAUUAGAGGUGUGCCAUUAGUGCCACGCCAUUAGUAUAUUUUACUAAUGGCGCACCACUGGUGCGCCAUUAGUAUCUGGUAUACUAAUGGCGCACCUCAGAUGCGCCAUUAGUAUAUACAACAGUGCGCCAUUAGUAUGCCUCCCAGGGGGGCAUGUAUACCCAGGUGCUUUGGCAUACUAAUGGCGCACAACAACAGGAUGCGCCAUUAGUAACUUCGGCAUACUAAUGGCGCACUGUUUAAUGAUGCGCCAUUAGUAUCCUUUGGCAUACUAAUGGCGCACUGUGAUGUGAUGCGCCAUUAGUAUGAAUAUUAGGUUUUUUUUAUUUUUUUAUUUUCUGUUUUUUGCACAGGUUACAAAAUGUAUAAUUGGACAAAAUAUAGACAGCACACAUCAACAACAGAUUCAUCGAAUACAAUAGAAGAUUAGUCUCUGAAUACAAUUCAUCAUAUUAGUCUCCGAAUACAAUUCAUCAUAUUAGUCUCCGAAUUGAAAAGACCGAACAAAGAUAGAACAUUAUAUUACAAGUCUCGAGACCGCGAGUAGCGAGUUUGUCUUCACAUUACAAGUCGAUAUCGAUCAUCUAAACUACCAUCACAUAGAAGAGAGCUGCGGUCAUCACGAUGAGCAUCAUCUCGAUGAAACUCGUCUUCAUCCGGUUCCUCCAGCGCUCCCUCCCCUCUCCCGCUAGAUAGCGGGCGUAUCUAGAUUCGGCCUCGGCCCUAGUGGUGUACCCUUUGUAACUGUUACCGCUGAAUCGGUGAACCUGUCUCCGACACUCCUCCCAGUCGUCGUAGACUCCAGGAACCUUACGCUUGUACACGACAUACGACGGCAUCGCUAUGCAGUAGCCAAACGAAACGUUAGUACCAAUUCACAGACAAUACAUAAGCAAUAUAUAAGUAUGCAACAGAACGAUCGGAAGAGAAAAGCAAGACAUUAAUAGCAUCGAUUACAUCUAAGUUGAACGACUCUCGAAACCAAAGAGACAUACUACAAGUUCAUUAAAGUUUAAUUACAACAUGAGCCAAUCGAUGUUUCAGAACUAGACACAGCAUCACUGCUUUCGACUCGACUCAAGGGACCGGAGCGUGGAUGAAGCCGCCGUCUAUCGUGGGAGUCAUGAAAUAACAGUCGUUGUCAGCCUGCAUUUGGAGCAUUGUGUCGAUGUCACUGUUGGACGGUUGAUUUCUGAGGUAGAACUGCCCCGAGGUAUGAAGGACAUCUUGAUAGAUGAUUUCCGCAAACUCCGACUGGAUGCGAAAGAAUUCUUGUCUGAUGUCCGCGUCCUGGAUUGCCGACAUGCUCGCGGCCCAAUCUUUGAGUUUACUCGGUAGCAGAAGUUGAUGGUGGUCCCGUACGAUCGCCCGCAUGUGAUGGAUGGCAUAGUAGGCACCCUUCUGACCGCCAGGCGGCUGCUUGACGCAACAGAACGUCGUAUUGUGGGAGAACACAUGCUUGUCGUACUUACGAAUAGGCCUGGUGAAGGUGCCUCCAUAUUUGGCAUAGCCGGGGAGAACAUCAUCAAGAACCUUCUAGGCAUUUGUGUAGUCUAUGUUCGAAUGACGGUCCGGGUCGAAAUACGUGGCCAUGGAAUAUUUGGGGCUUAGGAGGAUGAGCGUGCAAGGUGUGUCACUGCAGAAAACACGGAAUGUUAAAAGAAAAACGAUCGAAAUCUAAGAAUUCAUAUGUUACGGGGCGGUUGAGGGGAGGACUUACUCGGGAAAGUAAGGCACGAGGAAGUUAUCCUUAUCUUGGUUUGCCAGAAUGACGCCUUCGAGGUAAGAACUCGUGACUUGCCGGUCCCCAGCGCUACCCAAGAUCUUGGCACACAUGUAGAAGGGGUCGACUAUCACGAUGUCCGGGGUCUUGUCGUGAAUGAUCCGCAUCUCCAUACUUAGAGAAAAUAGCCGAACGAAGGUGUAGUGCAGCGGAUGAAGGUUCAACAUAGCGUGGAUGUCAUCAAACCGCAAGACAAUCGUACCCCCGAUGGAGUUAUCCACAAAGCCCUUGCCCUCUGGCACCUUGGACGCGAAAACCGGGUAUGCCACAUCCUUCUCUCUGAGACGCCGCUUCUCCAAAGAAAGAACACUGUCAUGCAGACUCCGCAUAGCACCGGUUGCAGCAUUGAGCAUAUUUCUCGGUAGCAUCGGCCUACCCGCCACAUGCACCCUCCUCGAGAUAUCCUCAGGUGAAGGUGGCCCGUCCUGAGCAUGGAUCGUACUCGAUGCCGGCUGGCCCGCACCCUUGUUAGUCUUUCUUUUGCGUGCCUUCUUCUUCUCCUGUAAUGGGACCGAGUUCUCCUCACAGACCACCUUCUUGAGUGUGUUGGGGCUGAUAAUAUUUCGCACCUCGCCUAUUUGAGGCUCGGUGAAGUCGGCAGCUGGAGGCGUCUCCUGAGAGCUGAACGGCAGACGAUGCCUGUUGCAACUUGCCUUCUCCGCGGUACCAGCUAGAUCGCGCACGUCUUUUGUUGGGUUGGGUUCUUGAGAAGGAGGCCCCAUGAAGUCGCCACCGUACCCAUGAUCGGCAAAGUACUGAUCGACGUUGGCAAAUGUAUCGUCGUCGUCGUCGUUCUGAUCCUGUGCCAUAUGCAUGUUUGGAUCUAGUGGCAUAGGGAUGUCCGGCACCGUUGCGGCGGUCUUGCCAUGGGGCCGACUUGGCGCCGGCACGACUGGCGGUGUUGUCUUUGGGGUGGUGUCCCCCGCCCCCAAACGAAUCUGGCUCUUCGGCCAAAGCAGGGGCCAGCUCAGGCAGGCGCUGAGGGUCAUCACGUCAUCAACGUCGGCCCCGACGGGUCGAAUCGGAGGUAACAACUCGUCGCAGCCUGGCAGCACCCGAACCAGUUGAACCCUAAACAAGUUGGGUGGCAUCUAGGUACCGUGGAACAAGGGGUUGCCCGGCUGUGAUUUUGCCCUUGGCGACAUCAACCAACUCAUUGUUCACGAAGUGCAGCAGAGUGCACGGAACGUCGGCGGUGCCCUGCGAAAACAUGUAGGGCGUCAGGGCUGCCCAGUCAAAGGCAAGGAGAUGAAGUCCUCGGCCAGAGAGGCUUAAUUAGUUACCGUGAUGAUGGCGUCGAGCUCGGCUAAUGUCGAGGCACCGCCAACGGUGGGCGUGCAAUUGACAGAGGGGCCGCUUGCUGCAGAGGUGCCGGCCGGCGUACACCCGGGUGCAUUAAGCUCCCGUGCCAGCGUCGGAGACACCAAUGGCCCCGCCAUCGCGUUCUGCGAGUUGCUGGCCGUGAAGCUAGGAAUCGGGGGCGGCCCCUGUUGGCCGCCCGCAAUCCACGCACUAAUCCCCUGGAUCAAGGUAGGCACAAUGGCGGUGAUCGUCCUUCCAAGUUGUUGUUCCACUUGCUCUUGGACAAUCUCCAGAAUCCGCGCCACCUGUGCCCUGAGUUCUUGAACCUCGCGCGCCUGGCUUUCCGAGCUGGUCUUUUUCUCCUUUCGCCCACCAGUGUUAUAGUAUGACGACCAUUUUGUCGACAAGCCUUUGUCGGCCACACGACCAGCUGACGUCGGCUUACUGAGCUUAUCCUUGUUCUUCAUUACAUUCAACGCCCUAUUUAGAGUGGUGUCCCAAGGGUUGCUCUUAGUCGACCCCGCGCUACUGCUUUCAGUCGCCUGCGGAAGGAAUGUGAACCAUUUAGAAAUUUGGCUUCAUUAAUUAGAAUGCAACCAUAUGGAGCUAAUUACACAGGGGUGUAUUCCUUACCAGAACAAGCUCAAGCACCCUGGUCUUCGGAUCCGUGGUAAGCUCCUUUGUUUUCGGGUCCUUCUUGUACCGGGCCCUGACAAAGUUCCUCGUCUGCUUGUCACCGUAUUUAUCGAAGAGGGGCGGUAGGCCUUGCUCGGCACGGUCCGCCUCCUCCUUGUCCCAUAUAGGCUCCGCCACUCUAUAACCGCCGGGACCGAGUGUGUGUUCCCCUAAGUUCAGCUCCCGCAUUUCUUUCCCCCACUUACUUGAUUCGGAGUUUGCGGUGCUCGAGCAAUUGAUCUUGAAGUCGUUGUAGUCAUCUUCGGUGAUCGAAGGAUUUUUCUCCUUGAUCUUCUCAUAACUCUCACCUUUCUCGAUCAUUCUCUUCACAUUGCUUUUCCAAGUAGACAGGGCCUUGCUCAUCUUCGUGAGGGCAGCAUUGUUCACUUUAUUCCCUUUGAGGCUUGUGUUUUCAAAUUCAGCGGGGAACUUGUAUCGUUCGUGCAGCUUCGUGAAGAGGAGGUUGCGCAAAUUCCCUCGGUCAGGAUGCCUCAGGUUCUCGGUGUUGAUCGAGACGGUGCUCCGAAGAAUGCACCCGAGCUGAAGCGAGUACCCCUUGACUAUUCGUUUGGGCGCCGUUGGAUUCCCGUCGGAGUCCACUUCAGUAACUUCCUCCUUGAGGGUGCGGAGCACGGUCAGGCGCCGGUCCUUCCAUUGCCUCUUCGGUUGGCUGCCAUCUGUGUGUGCGCCGCCAUCAUCAGUGGUGGCAUCCUCGGCGGCACCAUCAGUGGUGGCAUUAGUGGGGUCAUCCUCGGCGGUACCAUCAGUGGUCUCAGGAUCGGUGGGGAAGGCGGCGUCCUCAUACAAGUGAGGUUGUUCCUCCAUCUCCUGGGACAGCUUCCAGAAUGCCUUGACGCCCGAACCCCCGGCCUCAUCAUUGUUGGCCAUGUUUCUCUCUAAAUAGGAACAAAGUUUGGUCAAAAAGUUGGUUAUUGUCAAGGAACAAGAUCAUGGUCUCAUCAUUUAGGGUUUGUCGACACCGAGGCAUCCUAAAAGCUAAGCUUUUAUCAUUGAGGGUUUUUCGAUGCCGAGGCACCCUAAAAGCCUAAGCUUUCAUCAUUUCGGUUUUUAUCGACACCGAGGCACCCUAAAAGCCAUGCAUUAGUCACAAGUACGCCGGGGCACUUGAUCCUACUUAAUUAACUACUAAGAUACCCCGGCCCAUGCAUUAGUUACAAGUACCCCAUAUGUCCUAUUUUUAGCAAAGUCAUGCUAAAAUUCACGGAAAAUUUCAGCAUGACCUUUGCUGAAAAUAGGACAUAUGGAGUACCCGAAUUUGCCGGAACGGAAGUUAAUCGACAUUCCAGCAAACUCAAGGGCCUCUCGGGUGGACAAGGCAAAAAAGGCCUCCAUCACAACAUGGAAUAUACAUUGGCAUGUGAAGAGGUGAAACAAUAUAUGCAUCUCCAAGCAGUAUCAUUCAACAUUUUGGACAAACCACUACAAGCAAUACUGGACCAUUUCUCCCCCAAUACAUCAUAGCAACAUUAUUUGGGUACCUAUAUGGUAUUAACAUGCCAUUCUCUGUCAACAGAAGUAGCACAAAAUCAUUCAAGUACCAGUGUUUAACUAAAACUUGGUGUGAAUAAGAUCCUCUGUCAGUACUUCAUACCAAUAAUCAAAACCCCAAAACCUGACCCCAACUAGUUACCAUAAGGUCAAAUACUGUCCACAAAACCAUAACAGAAAUAGCACAAAAUUAUUCCUAUGUGGUUCAUUACUUGAUUUCCUUUCAGCCUCAAAGUUUAUGUUUGUCCUGGUCAUAUUAUGCUUUUGGCAACCACCAGAAAUGUAAAAGAUUUUUUGUGAACUUGGGAAGAAAAGAACCAACUUUCAUCAAAGAAAUAAAAAUAAGAUCAUGAGCAGAAUAGUUGUUAGGGUACUGUCAUUUAUAGGACCAUUUAACAUUGGCUAGGCAUUUCUUGGCUGCAACAAUCACUGAGUUUGAAAUAGGUAGAAUAGAAUGUAUUUUUCUCACUUGGGAAAGUAAUCAGUUACAGCAACUUCAAUAUUUUGUGUCUCUGAAUAUUUGCAUAAAUUCCUACUAUCAUCCAUGAGCAGCACCACGUAGCAGUUCAUAGAGCAGAACAUGAGGCAGUUAGCUACUGACAGAGCUUUUUGGCCAACACUCAUAACACUGAUCAACAUUUCUCUAACUCAGACUACUUUACACUGAUCAACUGUUCUAAUGGAGGAGAGGAGCAACAGCUGAGGUGGCUACUCACAUCUACUUCUGGUGGGUGCUGAGGUAGGACUUCUCGCAGUACUCGGAGGUGGAGUAGAGCUGCGGUCGCAGGUUCUUGAGCUCCUGCAUCAAGCAUGGCCACAACGCUCAGUUUAUCUACCAUAGACAGUUUAGCAGAAACAAAAGCACUAUUUCCAACUUCGCUCGGGAAAUUCAGGUCAGGCAGUAGUGCAACUUUGCAAGUAUAUGGGGAUUUUUUUAGAGGACAAUAUAUGGGAUUUUAAAAGUGAACACAGCUUAUGUCCCAAGGAUAUUAUUUGUUUUCAAGUCAUGAUUGUUUUGAUUCUACAGUACAUAUUAAUGGCUGCAUAGUUGCGAUGUGAAAGUGAGAUCGCCAUGGCCACAAUAAAUUACGCUGCUACUUUUCUUGUGGCUAUGCUGCAGCUGAUCUUGUGAGUCAGUCAAUACCUUUUCAUGCAGGUAAAUCUAGCCCAUCAAAGGGGGUGCUAAGAAGUCUUUGCAAGUCCGGCUGAAAGCUGCCCCCAAUAAAUCUUAACACUACAAGCAGUUUUACUAAGAUGCUAGAAAACUCACGCCAAACUUGUGCAAAUUGAUGAGAACAACUAAAGAAGCAAAAUUGCAGCAUGAAGAUGCCAAACAAACUAAAUCAGAAACUCAUCAGCAUUGGACACCGCGUUUUGGACAUUACUUUGGUCAAACAUUUUAGCUAACUCAAUGUUGCAGUGAUCAAAGUGGCAUAAUUUGCCAAUUUACAGCACUACUUUUGCCACUUGUUACAAGUUUAUGGACCUGACAAGUUUGCGAUAAUGCUAAGGGAUUUAACAGUGGUAUAUAUGCCCUAAACGUAUCAGCUGGGAGGCCUUCUCUUGUAUAUAUGUACCACUUUCUUGACUUGCCUUCUCUUGUAUAUAUUAUUCCCAUAAAAGAUACGGGCGCAGCAACGCGCGCUUUUAUGUUCUAGUGUCACAAUGAAGGAGGGAUGGCUAGUAAUAGCACUAGUUCGAUUCAACCCAAAUGGAUUGGGCUUAAUUGACUUGACAGAUUACCACAGACGUAACAUAGUACACGUCGCGCGGAUUUGCAAACAAAAUUAGCACAGCAGAUGGGUUCAAAUCAAAACAGGCUACAUAUUCUAAAUCUAAUCCCAGAACAGAGAGGCUAACCAUGCAAUCUACAUCGGACAAGGCAAUUAAGGGACCACCGAGACAAAAUCUAUGAGUAAACUAACAUCCCAAACAUUCUAGGCAGCCCAAUCACAAACUAAAAGAAAAAACAGGGGGAAGCUCACCGGGGCACCGGGGCGGCGGGGUGUCGGGGCGGCUAGGGCGUCGGGAUGGCGGGGCGCCUGGUUGUCGAGGCGGCGGGGCGCCAGGCCGGCGGGGCGCCGAGGGUGNNNNNNNNNNNNNNNNNNNNNNNNNNNNNNNNNNNNNNNNNNNNNNNNNNNNNNNNNNNNNNNNNNNNNNNNNNNNNNNNNNNNNNNNNNNNNNNNNNNNNNNNNNNNNNNNNNNNNNNNNNNNNNNNNNNNNNNNNNNNNNNNNNNNNNNNNNNNNNNNNNNNNNNNNNNNNNNNNNNNNNNNNNNNNNNNNNNNNNNNNNNNNNNNNNNNNGGCGAGGGUGGUGGGGGUCGGGAGCGGCGACGAGGGCGGUGGGGGUCGGCGGCGACGGGGGCGGCUCGGGCACGGGGACGGCACAGUGAGGGGAGAGAGACAGAGGGGAGAGAAAGAGGAUGGCGUCGGCGCUGACCUUUUUUGUUAGGUGAAAUCUCUUUGUCAAUACUAAUGGCACAAUACUAAUGGCGCACCACCCCUCGGUGCGCCAUAAGUACAUCCAUACUAAUGGCGCACCUCACCGUGGUGCGCCAUUAGUAUUUUUUUUUUGAUUUCUGCUCGAGCCAACAGGUUAUCUUCCACCUGACCUGAUCCACACCAAGUUGCCUCUACUAGCUCGACUGGUUAGCAGCCAGUUCUCACACCAGGAGGUCCUGGGUUUGACUCCUAGGCUCCACCAUUUUUUUUAUGCAUUUAAAAUGCUGUUUGAUACUUAUUUGUGUUUAAAUAUGUUCAAACUUGUUUAAAUCAUAACAGUAAUAUUUUUUUUAUAAGACAGUAAUAAUUUUUUAAAAAAUAUCAUCAAACAGUAAUGCCGGUGGAGCGGGGGAGGUGCGCGGGGUGCGGGGGGUCGGCGACGGCGGUUNNNNNNNNNNNNNNNNNNNNNNNNNNNNNNNNNNNNNNNNNNNNNNNNNNNNNNNNNNNNNNNNNNNNNNNNNNNNNNNNNNNNNNNNNNNNNNNNNNNNNNNNNNNNNNNNNNNNNNNNNNNNNNNNNNNNNNNNNNNCGGUUGAGUAGGGGAGGGGUGCGGGGGGUCGGCGGCGGUGGUUGAGUAGGGGAAUCGAGGGUGCGGGGGUCGGCGGCGGCGGUUGAGUAGGGGAAUCGAGGGUGCGGGGGGUCGGCGGCGGCGGCCGGUGGACCGGGGGGUGCUCGGCGGCGAGGGGGACCGGAUCUGGCGAGGUGGGAUAGCGAUCGAGAUGGAGGGGGAUCGAGAUGGAGUGUCCAUGAAAUUUAAAAAUAUUCAUGAUACUUCAAAAAGUGCCCAUGAAAUACAAUCGAGAAAUGAAGGCUACGAUUUAAAUACAAUCGAUCUUAGCUAGCUAUCUGUUCACAAUCUUCUUGCCCUUGUUUUUCGCAAAUGGAGUUCUUCUGUGGAACGGACGUCCUUUAGGUAGGGUGGUCCUGCUUCUUCUUGUGGGGUAUGCUGCUACUUCAUCAUCGUCGUCAUGUUCGAUCCUCGGGUCGCCGUACUUGUCGAAGUCUUGCUCAUUGGCUACUCCAUCCAUUCCGAUGAUGUUCCUUUUUCCUCUCCUCACGACAACACGACUGGGCUUUGACGGGUCGGUAAUGAAGAAGCAUUGGUCCACUUGGGAAGCCAGUACCCAUGGCUCAUUUUUCGCGGUGACGUUUGCGCCCGCGGUCUUGGAUUUGGCUUCGGGUAUAACCAUGGUGGUGAAAUACCGGUCUUCUUUUAGGACGCUCUUGGCCCAUCUGACACGGAACAUCGGGACCUUCUCUCCAGCGUAGCUCAGCUCCCAGAUCUCCUCGAUCCUUCCGUAGUAUCUGUCCUUGUUGUUACCGGUGUAGGAUUCCAUCGUUACCCCGGAGUUCUGAUAACCAUCGCUCUUCAUGUCCUUGGCCUCGGUGUAGAAUGUGUAGCCGUUGAUAUCGUACGCCUCAUAGGUCAUCAGGUUGUGCUCGGCGCCCUGUGACAAGGCUAAUAUGAGUUGUUCUUCCACGGAAGAAUCCUCAUGUAAAGGGUACGACAGAAGUUUCUGCUUGAACCAACGCGUGAAACAUGAGUUGUGCUCUUUGAGUAUAUCUCCGUCCGUCCUCUGUUGGCCUCGGUCAUUGUACGUCUUCUUAAUAAAGGUUUUGUGCUCUACCACCCAAGGAUCGACCACGUCUAUGUGUUGUAGCGCGACUAGGUUUUCUCUUUCAAAGUCCGCGAGUCGACCCUCGAAGUCGACAUGCAUUUCGCGGCGACCCUCACGGUGACCCCAUCUAGCGAGCCUGCCGAGGUGCCUGUUGACGGGCAGACCAACGGGGUUCUCGAUGCCUAAAUAAUUCGUGCAGUAAGAGAUGCACUCUUCGGUCAGAAAGUCCCUGGCUAUGCUUCCCUCUGGACGUGACAUGUUGCGAACGUAUCCUUUGAUGACACCAUUCAUCCUUUUGAAUGGCAUCAUGCUGUGCAGGAACGUCGGCCCGAGUUGGAUGAUAUCGUCCACGAUAUGGACCAGCAGAUGCACCAUAACGUUGAAGAAUGUGGGCGGGAAGUACAUCUCAAGCUCGCAUAGUAUCACCACGAUCUCUUCCUAUAGCCUUCUGAGUUGCCUCACGCCAACAGACUUCCGAGAGAUGACAUUGAAAAAGUUGCAUAGGCCAAAUAGGGUUUCACGGACGUGCGCGUCCAUGAUCCCACGGAUUGCAACUGGAAGUAUCUGCGUCAUCAGCAUGUGACAGUCGUGAGACUUCAUCCCGCUGAACUUCAGCUUCGCUGGGUCUAGGUAUCUGCUUAUCUUCCCCGCGUAACCAUAAGGAAGUUUUACUCCUAUGAGGCAGGUGAAAAACUGCUCGAUCUCCUCCUGACUUAGAGUGAAGCACGCGGGAGGGUAGUCAUUUCCGGUGUUCCUGGCCUUUUUGCCUUUGCGACGACUUUCCGUGUCCUGGUUCGCCUCAUCAUCAUCAUCAUCAUAAUCAUCAUCUUCAUAUAUAGCGUGAAGCUCCUGCCUGAUGCCCAUUGAUUUCAAGUCUGCCCUUGCUUUCGGCCCAUCUUUGGUCCUCUCUGGCAUGUUGAGCAGGGUACCAAGCAGACUCUCGGACACGUUCUUCGUGAUAUGCAUGACAUCAAGGCUGUGAGGCACACGGUGGAUCUUCCAGUACGGCAAGUCCCAGAAAACAGACCUCGUUUUCCAUACCUUCAGUAGCGGCUCUGGCGCCUUUCGCUUCUUUCCCGGCUCUGGCGCCUUUUGCUUCUUUCCCGGCAGUGGGCAGUCUUUCCAAUUUUUCAACAGCUCGUCUAUUUCCUCGCCGCUCCUCGUACGCGGGCGUCCUCGGGGUUCGGUUUCACCAUCGAACAGAUCCUUGCAUUUUCUCCAUGGGUCAUCGUCGCGAAGCCACCUUCGAUGUCCCAUGAACACGGUUUUCGAAGACCCGGGAUCUCUAUCUAGCUGGCGAUACGUUGUGUCAUCCAUGCACCUGAUGCAUCCAGAAAAUCCGUGGACCACCUGCCCCGCGACAUAUCUGUAACCGAGAUAGUCGUGCACCGUCAUGAGCAGCGCGGCUCUCAUAGGGAAAUAUUCUUUCUCUGCGGCGUCCCACAUAUUGGCUGGCGUUUUCCACAGCGUGUCAAGCUCCUCUUUCAGCAGCCCCAGAUACAGAUUGAUGUCGUUUCCUGGUUGUUUCGGUCCUUCAAUUAGCAUACUCAUGUGAAUGUACUUCCUCUUCAUGCACAACCAGGGGGGAAGGUUGUACAUCCACACAAACACAGGCUAGGUGCUAUGUGUGCUUCUCUGGCUGCCAAACGGAUUGACUCCAUCGGUGCUCGCGCCCAGCACGAUGUUCCUUGGAUCGUUCCCAAAUUCUGGGUCUUCGAAGUUCAACGCUUGCCACUGGCUCGCAUCCUUAGGGUGACUCAGCAUCUUUUCUUUCUUAUCUAUCUCCGGAUCAUUUGCGUCAUCUUCUCGCUUCUUCUCCUCCCUAUCCGCGUGCCAACGUAGGAGCUUUGCUACCUUAGGGUCAAGCGAAAUACCGCUACAGACGAGGAGUGAUCGGAAAGUACCACACCACUUUUUGAGGAGCUUUCUUCCUCUUCUUGUAUCGAGUGACGCCGCACACCGGACAUAUGGUAGACUCCGCGUGCUCGUCCCGAUAAAUGAUGCAAUUUUUCAUGCACACAUGGUAUUUCACGUGCGGUAAAUCUAGAGGACACACGAUUUUCUUCGCCUCCUCCAAACUGGUCGGGCACUUGUUCCCCUUGGGAAGACGUUCGUGCCAGAAUGACAUGUUCUCGUCGAAGCAUGCGUCGGUCAUUUUGUGUUUUACCUUCAUCUCCAGAGCCAUGAGCAUUACUUUCAGGCGGGUAUCCUCGGGCCUGCAUCCUUCAUACAAUGGAGUAACCGCAUCUAACUCAAGUUGAUCCAUCUUGGCUUUCUCUCGGGCGGCAGCUCUUGCGUUAUCCGUCUGCUUGAGAAGCAGCUCUUGAAUAUGAGGGUCCUGCACCCAGCCCAUUGAUGGUCCAGCGUCGUCUGCUCCACCGGCUUCAUCAUCUUCAUGAUCAUGCCCGUCGUCUGCUCCGGCAUCUUCCUCAUCAUCAUGUCCUGCAUCUUCUACAUGAUGACUGUGUACAGCAUCACCGUCGUGAUCAUCUCCUGGGGAUUCUUCGUCUUCUCUCCCGCCCGAGCCGUGGUGGUUGUCUUGCUGUCCUUCCUCAUUUCUUGCCCGGCCCCCAUGGAUGACUUCGUAGUCAUCUUCAUCACCUUGCCACCGAUAGCCAUCCAUGAAACCACGCAAGAGCAGGUGGUCCCGCACCUGCCCGGAUUCCGGGUCGCAAUAAGGCUCUUCAUCUUGCAUCUUUGACACGGACAUCUUAUCUCCGUCUCGUUCUUUUGAAGCAUCUCGGCCUUCGCGGACCUCAAAAACCUAUUCACGAUGCCUUCGGUCAUCGUGCGGACCAUGGUCGCCUGCGGGGUAGAGCAAAAUGAUAUUUUAGAACCAAGAAAAAAUUUGGCAUGACUUUCCCUAAAAAUAGGACCAAAAAGAAUGCUUAAUGGCAAAAUUCUCGCCGAAACGGAAAUGAAUCAACAUUCCGGCAAAAUAUUGGCAACUAUCGCAUUUCAAAUACCGGUACACCUCCAAACACAAACACAUAUGCAACACCACAAACAUAUGCAACACCACGAACAUACAUAGAUCUAGCUAGGCCAUAAAAAGUGCAUGUGCACAUUGUUGUAGGGAGAACAACAUAAAUAUAGCUUCCCCCCUUACUUACCUAUCAAAACAAGGUAAUUUAACCACUUAAAUUGAAUGAAUCUAUGGUGGAAAUGAGGUGAAAAAUAGGAGGCACCCGAGACAAGGAGGAGGUGGAGAGAAUGAAGUGGGGAAAAAGUGAGUGUGGGUAGGAGAGGCUGUCCAACAUAUCUUGUUGCUGCCCACUUACUAAUGGCGCACCAACUCUAAAUGCACCAUUAGUAAUCCAGGUUACUAAUGGCGCACCUUCUGGUGGUGCGCCAUUAGUAGUUUUGCAAAAAAAACAUAAUAAUGGCGCACUGUCCCACACUGCGCCAUUACUAGUUUAAACUAGUAAUGGCGCACGGUGGAACAGUGCGCCAUUAGUAGUUUUGCAAAAAAAGGAAUAAAAAUAUAAUAAAAAAAACAACAUUAGUGGCGCACUUUCCGACAGGUGCGCCAUUACUAGUUACAACUAGUAAUGGCGCACUGUGUCUGGAUGCGCCAUUAGUAUGUUUGGACAGGCGCACUAGUUCAAAAAAAAUUGAUACUAAUGGCGCACCCUGGGCCUGGUGCGCCAUUAGUAGUUUCAACUCUAAUGGCGUAUUAGAAGGUGGUGCGCCAUUAGUAUACUAAUGGCGCACCGCUUGUCUAGUGCGCCAUUACUGUCAAUCCCAUCUAUAGCCCUUCUUCUAGUAGUGUAAAAUAAGAGAGAAUAGCCAUAAGUAUUGUGAUAUAAAGUGAAAUAAUAGUCCAUAAUGCAAUAAAUAUUGAUAUAGAAGCAUGAUGCAAAAUGGACGUAUCAACUCCCCCAAGCUUAGACCUCGCUUGUCCUCAAGCGAAAAGCCGAUAACAAUAAAUAUGUCCUCAUGUUUAGAGGUAGAGGCGUCGAUAAAAAUAAAAUACGGACAUGAAGGCAUCAUGAUUAUUCUCAUAACAGCAACAUAUAUAGAUUUUGUCAUAUGAUUACUUAUGUUCAAGUGAUGAUCUAUUCACAAUGCAAAAGCAUAAAUCAUAAACCUUAUUGGGCUCCAAAAAACUAUAAUCUCAGUCAUUGAAGCAAUUGCAAUUUAUCAUAACAUCGGAAAGAGUCUAUUUCAGAGCUAAAAAGCAAGUCCACAUACUCAACUAUCAUUUAGUCCUCCAUAAUUGCUAACACUCAUGUGAUACUUGUGGUUACGAAGUUUUAAUCGGACACAGAGAAAGAUAGGGGCUUAUAGUUUUGCCCCACAACCUUUUACCUCAAGGGUAAUGUCAACAAUAAUGGUUCAUGCUCCCCUUCAUCCAAUUAGAUAUAUAUAUCAUGUUCUUUCCAACAUGCUGAGCUUGCCAAAGGAUAAAAUGAAAAAGAAAAGGUGAAGAUCACCAUGACUCUUGCAGAAGGUAGAAGGUAAUAAUAAAGGAUAAGCCCUUCGCAGAGGGAAGCAGAGAUUGCCAUGCGCUUUUAUGGUUGGAUAUAUAAAAUCUCAAUGCGAAAGAACGUCACUUUAUAUUGCCCCUUGUGAUAUGAACCUUUAUUAUGCAGUCCGUCGUUUUUAUUACUUCCACAUCACAAGAUCGUAUAAAGCUUAUUUCUCCCACACCAAUCAAUCAUACAUAUUUAGAGCAAUUUUUAAUACUUUGCACCGAUGACAACUUACUUGAAGGAUCUUACUCAAUCCAUAGGUAGAUAUGGUGGACUCUCAUGGCAAAACUGGUUUAGGGAUUUUGGAAGCACAAGUAGUAUUUCUACUUAGUGCUGAGGAUUUGGCUAGCAUGAGGGGGAAAGGCAAGCUCAACAAGUUAGACGAUCCAUGACAACAUACUUUAUCUCAGAUAUAAGAAAUACAUAACUCAUUAUGUUGUCUUCCUUGUCCAACAUCAACUUUUUAGCAUGUCAUAUUUUAAUGAGUGCUCCAAAUGAUAAAAGAUGUCAAUGAUAAUAUAUCUAUAUGUGAAAACCUCUCUUUCCUUAUUACUUCCUAUUAAUUGCAACAAUGAUCAAAGCUAUGUCUGCCAACUCCCAACAACUUUUAAUCAUCAUACUCUUUCUAUGUGAAGUCAUUACUCUCAAUAAGAUCAAUAUGAACUUUUUGUUUCUUUUUAUUCUUUUUCUCUUUUCUUUUGUUCACCCAAGAUCAUGACAAAAUAAUCAAGCCCUUGACUCAACACUAAUCUUUAUUAUAUAUAGCUCACGGACUCGAUUACAUAGAGAGAUCAUAAAGCAAAACUCAAAACUAGAUCAUGCCAUAAACUUUAUUCUACUAGAUCAAGAUACUACUAAUAGGAUUGAACUAAGAAAAACGGUAAAGAUAAGAGUUGUGAUUGUGAUACGAUACCGGGGCACCUCCCCCAAGCUUGGCAGUUGCCAAGGGGAGUGCCCAUACCCAUGUGAUUAUGUCUCCUUGGUUGGUGAAGAAGGUGGAGGCGUCGGAUAAUCGCACAUCAAGCGUAAGAGGUCCUCCAGCUUGCGAAUAAUGCCCUUGAGUGCGACAAUAUGCUCCUUCAACAAAAUAUUUUAUUGUGUGAGAUACUUGUUUUGUACACGAGCUAACUCAAUCAUCUUUAAAGCUUCGAUCUCAGUUGGGGUAAGAAGGUUAUGAUCAAGUUGGAGGGUGUCUUUUGCUGCGGGAGCUUGAUCCUCUGUGGCCUUCUUGAUCCUUUCAUCCUUGUUGACCCUCGCGGGUUCUUCCCUCUUCAGAUCUAUCUUCAUUAGCCAAGCAUCGUUGUCACCAUUGUUGGAGGAGGGAGACGACAUGAUGCCUAGCCUGGAAAACCCUGACAGAAAACAGCCCGAAACAAGAACAGAGGAGGUUUGCGUGAUACGGGAGUCAAAACCUCCGGGAGAUUAUAUAAUGAAUUUUUACCGACCAAAAUACGUAACGUGCAAGAAAACGGAGUCCGGAAGGCACACGAGGUGCUCACGAGGUAGGAGGUGCACCCAGGGGGGUAGGGCACGCACACCACCCUCGUGGGGCCCUCGUGUCCUUCCUGUUGGGGAACGUAGCAGAAAUUCAAAAUUUUCCUACGUGUCACCAAGAUCUAUCUAUGGAGAAACCAGCAACGAGGGGAAGGAGAGUGCAUCUACAUACCCUUGUAGAUUGCUAUGCGGAAGCGUUCAAGAGAACGGGGUUGAAGGAGUCGUACUCGUCGUGAUCCAAAUCACCGGAGAUCCUAGUGCCGAACGGACGGCACCUCCGCGUUCAACACACGUACAGCCCGGUGACGUCUCCCAUGCCUUGUUCCAGCAAGGAGAGAGGGAGAGGUUGAGGAAGACUCCAUCCAGCAGCAGCACAAUGGCGUGGUGGUGGUGGAGGAGCGUGGUACUCCAGCAGGGCUUCACCAAGCACCGCAAGAGACGAGGAGGAGAGAGGUAGGGCUGCACCAGGGAGAGAUCAAAUCGUGUGUCUUGCAGCCCCUAAUACCUCAAGUAUAUAUAGGGGAAGGGGAGGGGCUGUGCCCCCAUCUAGGGUUGCCUCUCUAGGGGUGGCGGCUGCCCCCAAACCCAUCUAGGGUUGCGGCCAAGGGGGAGAGAGGGGGGGCGCACAUAGGGUGGGCCUUAAGGCCCAUCUGCCCUAGGGUUUGCCCCCCUCCCCUCUAGGAGGCGCCUUGGGCCUUGGUGGGAGGCGCCCCAGCCCACCUAGGGGCUGGUCCCUUCCCACUAUUUGCCCAUGUAUGCCUCCGGGGCCCGUGGCCCCUCCCGGUGGACCGCCGGACCCCUCCGGUGGUCCCGGUACACUACCGGUGAUGCCCGGAACACUUCCGAUGGCCAAAAACCAUACUUCCUAUAUAUCAAUCUUUACCUCUGGACCAUUCCGGAACUCCUCGUGACGUCCGGGAUCUCAUCCGGGACUCCAAACAACAUUCGGUAACCACAUACAAACUUCCUUUAUAACCCUAGCGUCAUCGAACCUUAAGUGUGUAGACCCUACGGGUUCGGGAACCAUGCAGACAUGACCGAGACGUUCUCCGGUCAAUAACCAACAGCGGGAUCUGGAUACCCAUGUUGGUUCCCAAAUGUUCCACGAUGAUCUCAUCGGAUGAACCACGAUGUCGAGGAUUCGAUCAAUCCCGUAUACAAUUCCCUUUGUCUAGUGGUAUUGUACUUGCCCGAGAUUCGAUCGUCGGUAUCCCGAUACCUUGUUCAAUCUCGUUACCGGCAAGUCUCUUUACUCGUUCCGUAACACAUCAUCCCAUGAUCAACUCCUUGAUCACAUUGUGCACAUUAUGAUGAUGUCCUACCGAGUGGGCCCAGAGAUACCUCUCCGUUUACACGGAGUGAAAAAUCCCAGUCUUGAUUCGUGCCAACCCAACAAACACUUUCGGAGAUACCUGUAGUGUACCUUUAUAGCCACCCAGUUACGUUGUGACGUUUGGCACACCCAAAGUAUUCCUACGGUAUCCAGGAGUUGCACAAUCUCAUGGUCUAAGGAAAUGAUACUUGACAUUAGAAAAAGCUUUAGCAUACGAACUACACGAUCUUUGUGCUAGGCUUAGGAUUGGGUCUUGUCCAUCACAUCAUUCUCGCAAUGAUCUGAUCCCGUUAUCAACGACAUCCAAUGUCCAUGGUCAGGAAACCGUAACCAUCUAUUGAUCAACGAGCUAGUCAACUAGAGGCUUACUAGGGACAUGGUGUUGUCUAUGUAUCCACACAUGUAUCUGAGUUUCCUAUCAAUACAAUUCUAGCAUGGAUAAUAAACGAUUAUCAUGAACAAGGAAAUAUAAUAAUAACUAAUUUAUUAUUGCCUCUAGGGCAUAUUUCCAACACUUCCCUGACUGCUACUUAUUUUUCUAUGUUUCUAAAUAUUCUGAAAUGGAGAAAUAUUGCCUUAAAAAUUGUUUUGGAGUCGGUUUACUUACCAUACCACAUACCUAUUCCUUUUUGGAGUCUGAAAUGUUCCGGAAAGUGUCCCUUAUGUAUUCCUCAGGGGUUACGGUUUCAAUAAUAUUGGUUUAAACAUUUAUGGGAUUACCUGAGAUAUAAUGUUUGAUUCUUUGACCGUUUACCACCUUCGGAUUUGUGCCUUCGAAGUUGUUGAUUUUUAUGGUACCGGAAUGAUAGACCUCUUCGAUAACAUAGGGGCCUUCCCAUUUAGAGAGAAGUUUUCCUACAAAAAAUCUUAAACGAGAGUUGUAUAGCAGUACAUAAUCGCCUACAUUAAACUCACGCUUUUGUAUCCUUUUGUCAUGCCAUCUUUUAACUUUUUCUUUAAACAACUUGGCAUUUUCAUAAGCUUGGGUUCUCCAUUCAUCAAGUGAGCUAAUAUCAAAGAACCUCUUCUCACCGGCAAGUUUAAAAUCAUAGUUGAGCUCUUUAAUAGCCCAAUAUGCCUUAUGUUCUAGUUCGAGAGGUAAGUCACAUGCUUUUCCAUAAACCAUUUUAUAUGGAGACAUACCCAUAGGAUUUUUGUAUGCAGUUCUAUAAGCCCAUAAUGCAUCAUCAAGUUUCUUGAACCAAUUCUUUCUAGACCUAUUAACAGUCUUUUGCAAAUUAAUUUGAGCUCUCUAUUGCUCAACUCUACUUGACCACUAGACUGUGGGUGAUAAGGAGAUGCAAUUCUAUGAUUAACAUCAUAUUUAGCAAGCAUUUUACGGAAAGCACCAUGAAUAAAGUGUGAACCACCAUCAGUCAUUAAAUAUCUAGGGACUCCAAACCUCGGGAAAAUAACUUCCUUAAUCAUUUUAAUAGAAGUGUUAUGAUCAGCACUACUAGUUGGAAUAGCUUCUACCCACUUAGUAACAUAAUCAACAGCAACUAGAAUAUGUGUGUAUCCAUUAGAGGCAGGAAAAGGUCAAAUAUAGUCAAAGCCCCAAACAUCAAACAAUUCAAUAACAAGAGAAUAAUUCAUAGGCAUUUCUUGACGUCUACUAAUAUUACCAAUUCUUUGACAUUCAUCACAAGACAAGACAAACUUACGGGCAUCCUUAAAGAGAGUAGGCCAAUAAAAACCAGAUUGCAAUACCUUAUGUGCAGUUCUAUCUCCAGUGUGGUGUCCUCCAUAAGACUCGGAAUGGAACUUGCGUAGGAUUUGUUCCUGUUCAUGCUUAGGUACACAACGUCUAAUAACACCAUCUACUCCUUCUUUAUAAAGAUGUGGGUCGUAAUGUCUCAAAUCAUAGAAGAACUUUUUCUUUUGUUGGUAUGUGAAGUUAGGUGGUACAAAUUUAGCAACAAUAUAAUUAGCAUAAUCAGCAUACCAUGGAGUACUACGAGAAGUACUUAUAACAUUUAAUUGUUCAUCAAGAAAGCUAUCAUUAAUAGGUAGUGGGUCAUCAAGAAUAUUUUCUAACCUAGAUAAGUUGUCUGCAACGGGGUUCUCAGCUCCCUUUCUAUCAACAAUAUGCUAAUCAAAUUCUUGUAGCAAGAGAACCCAUCUAAUAAGUCUAGGUUUAGCAUCUUUCUUUUCCAUAAGAUAUUUAAUAGCAGCAUGAUCAGUUUGAAUAGUUACUUUAGAAUCAACAAUAUAAGAUCUGAACUUAUCACAAGCAAAUACAACUACUAAAAGCUCUUUUUCAGUAGUAGCACAAUUUCUUUGAGCAUUGUCUAGAUUCUUACUAGCAUAAUGAAUAACAUUUAAUUUCUUAUCAACUCUUUGCCCUAGAACAGCACCUACAGCAUAAUCACUAGCAUCACACAUAAUUUCAAAUGGUAGGUUCCAAUCAGGUGGCUGAACAACAGGUGUAGAGACUAAUGCUUUCUUAAAUAUUUCAAAUGCUUCUACACAAUCAUUAUCAAAGACAAAUGGUAUAUCUUUUGCAAUAAAUUAGUCAGAGGACGAGAAAUUCUUGAGAAGUCCUUAAUGAACCUCCUGUAAAAUCUGGCAUGACCAAGGAAACUUCUUAUACCUUUGAUGUCCUUGGGACAUGGCAUCUUUUCAAUAGCAUCAACAUUGGCUUUAUCAACUUCAAUACCUCUUUCAGAAACAUUGUGCCCCAAGACAAUACCUUCAUUAACCAUAAAGUGGAACUUUUCCCAAUUCAAGACAAGAUUAGUUUCUUCACAUCUCUGCAAAACUCGAUCAAGAUUGCUCAAGCAAUCAUCAAAAGAGGAACCAUAGACGGAAAAGUCGUCCAUGAAAACCUCACAAAUCUUUUCACAAAAGUCAGAGAAUAUAGCCAUCAUGCAUCUUUGAAAGGUAGCAGGUGCAUUACAUAAACCAAAAGGCAUGUGUCUAUAAGCAAAAGUACCAAAAGGGCAUGUAAAAGUAGUCUUUGAUUGAUCUCUAGCCGACACAGGUAUUUGAGAGAAACCAGAAUAACCAUCUAGAAAGCAAUAGUGUGUAUGUUUUCAUAAUCUUUCUAGCAUUUGAUCAAUAAAAGGUAAGGGGUUAUGAUCUUUUUAGUAGCUUUAUUUAAUUUGCGGAAAUCAAUUACCAUCCUAUAACCUGUGAUAAUUCUUUGUGGAAUCAAUUCAUCUUUAUCAUUAGGAACAACAGUAAUACCUCCCUUCUUAGGGACACAAUGGACAUGACUUACCCACUCACUAUCAGUAACAGGAUAGAUUAUACCUGCCUCUAGAAGCUUUAGUAUUUCUUUUCUUACCACUUCUUUCAUUUUAGGAUUCAGACAUCGUUGAGGAUCACGAACUGGUUUGGCAUCUGCUUCCAAAUUUAUUUUGUGUUGACAUAGAGUGGGACUAAUGCCCUUAAGAUCAUCAAGAGUAUAUCCAAUAGCAGCACGAUGCUUCUUUAGAGUUUUCAAUAAUCUUUCUUCUUCAUGCUCUGAAAGGUUAGCACUAAUAAUAACAUGAUAUAUCUUAUUUUCAUCAAGAUAAGCAUAUUUAAGAUUAUCAGGCAAAGGUUUAAGCUCAAACACGGGAUCACCCUUGGGUGGAGGAGGAUCCCCUAAGAUUUCAACAGGAAAAUUGUGUUGCAGAAUAGGUUCCUAUUUAAAGAAUACUUCAUCUAUUUCCCUUCUUUCAUUCAUGAACAUAUCAUUUUCAUGGUCUAUCAAAUAGUGUUCUAAAGGAUCACUAGGAGGUACGACAAUAGAAGCAAGACCAAUAAUUUCAUCCUUACUAGGUAAUUUUUCCUCACGAUGUUGUUUAUUGAAUUUAGAGAAGUUAAACUCAUAAACCACAUCAUCCAAGCCAACAGUAACAACAUUCUUAGUGCAAUCUAUGGUAGCAUUGACAGUAUUUAAGAAGGGCCUACCAAAUAUAAUGGGACAAUAGCUAUCUUGCGGAGAGGUAAGAACAAGAAAAUCAGCGGGAUAUUUAGUUUUCCCACACAAGACUUCAACAUCUCUAACAAUUCCCAUUGCUGAAAUAGUAUCUCUAUUGGCAAGUUUAAUUGUGACAUCAAUAUCUUCUAACUCAGCAGGUGCAAUUUCAUUCUUAAUUUCUUCAUACAAGUCAUAAGGUAUAACACUAGCACUAGCACCCAUAUCACAUAAGCCAUGAUAACAAUGAUCUCGUAUUUUAACAGAAAUAACAGGCACGCCUACCACAGGUCUAUGUUUAUCUUUAUCACAAGGUUUAGCAAUUCUAGCAGUUUCACCUUCGAACUGAAUAACAUGCCCAUCAAUAUUAUCAGACAAGAGAUCUUUAACAAUAGCAAUAUUAGGUUCUACUUUAACUUGCUCAGGAGGUGUAUACGUUCUAAUAUUGCUUUUACGAACAACGGUUGAAGCUUUAGCAUGAUCCUUUAUUCUAACAGGGAAAGGUGGUUUCUCAAUAUAAGAAGUAGUAACAAUAGGAUCAUUAUAAGUGACAGUCUUUUCUUCAACUUUAAUAGGUGCAGCUACUUUUACUUCUAUGGGAGAAUGAUAUUUAAACCACUUCUCCUUAGGGAGAUCAACAUAAGUAGCAAAAGAUUCACAGAAAGAAGCUACUAUCUCAGAGUCAAGUCCAUAUUUAGUGUUGAACUUACGGAAAAUAUCGGUGUCCAUAAAAUAUUUAACACAAUCAAACUUAGGUGUCAUACCUGACUCCUUACCUUCGUUGAGGUCCCAAUCUUCAGAGUUGCGUUUAAUUCUAUCCAAUAAAUUCCAUCUGAAUUCAAUAGUCUUCAUCAUAAAAGAGCCAGCACAAGAAGUAUCAAGCAUGGUGCGAUUGUUAUCAGAAAGCCGAGCAUAUAAAUUUUGAAUAAUUAUUUCUCUCGGGAGCUCAUGAUUGGGGCAUGAAUAUAACAUUGAUUUAAGCCUCCCCCAAGCUUGAGCGAUGCUUUCUCCUUCGCAAGGCCAUAAAUUAUAUAUAUAAUUGCGAUCACAAUGAACAAGAUGCAUAGGGUAAUACUUUUGAUGAAAUUCCAACUUCAAUCUUUUAUAGUCCCAUGAUCUCAUAUCAUCACAUAGCCUAUACCAUAUCAAUGCAUCUCCCUUCAAAGAUAAAGGGAAGACCUUCUUCUUAGCAACAUCAUCGGGUAUACCUGCAAGCUUAAAUAAUCCACAAACUUCAUCCACAUAUAUUAAGUGCUCAUCAGGAUGCUUUGUUCCAUCUCCUGUAAAAGGAUUAGCUAGCAGUUUUUCUAUCAUACCCAAAGGAUACUCAUAAGGAAUUUCAUUUUCAAUAGGUUCAGUAGGUUGAGGAGCAACUCUUUGCUCUACUGGACGGGGUGAAGAUACCCCGAACAAGCCCCUCAGAGAAUUACUUUCCAUAGUAACAAGUGACAGUAAAUUUCAGCACAAUAUAUAAAUUUUUCCUUACCAAAUUCCACCUACCAAAGGCGCUACACUCCCCGGCAACGACGCUAGAAAAGAGUCUUGAUGACCCACAAGUAUAGGGGAUCUAUCGUAGUCCUUUCGAUAAGUAAGAGUGUCGAACCCAACGAGGAGCAGAAGGAAAUGAUAAGCGGUUUUCAGCAAGGUAUUCUCUGCAAGUACCGAAAUAAGUGGUAACAGAUAGUUUUGUGAUAGGAUAAAUUGUAACGAGCAACAAGUAACAAAAGUAAAUAAAGUGCAGCAAGAUGUCCCAAUCCUUUUCAACAAAAGGACAAGCCGAAACAAACUCUUAUAAUAGGAAAAGCGCUCCUGAGGACACAUGGGAAUAUCGUCAAGCUAGUUUUCGUCACGUUCAUAUGAUUUGCAUUCGAUACUUUGAUAAUUUGAUAUGUGGGUGGACCGGUGCUUGGGUGUUGUUCUUACUUGAACAAGCAUCCCACUUAUGAUUAACCUCUAUUGCAAGCAUCCGCAACUACAACAAAAUUAUUAAGGUAAACCUAACCAUAGCAUGAAACAUAUGGAUCCAAAUCAGCCCCUUAUGAAGCAACGCAUAAACUAGGGUUUAAGCUUCUGUCACUCUAGCAACCCAUCAUCUACUUAUUACUUCCCAAUGCCUUCCUCUAGGCCCAAAUAAUGGUGAAGUGUUAUGUAGUCGACGUUCACAUAACACCACUAGAGUCUAGACAACAUACAUCUUAUCAAAAUAUCAAACGAAUACCAAAUUCACAUGACUACUCAUAGCAAGACUUCUCCCUUGUCCUCAGGAACAAACGUAAUUACUCAAAAAGCAUAUUCAUGUUCAUAAUCAGAGGGGUAAUAAUAUGCAUAUAGGAUCUGAACAUAUGAUCUUCCACCAAAUAAACCAACUAGCAUCAACUACAAGGAGUAAUCAACACUACUAGCAACCUACUAGUACCAAUCCCGGACUUUGAGACAAGAAUUGGAUACAAGAGAUGAACUAGGGUUUGGAGAUGAGAUGGUGCUGGUGAAGAUGUUGAUGGAGAUUGCCCUCUCCCGAUGAGAGGAGCGUUGGUGAUGACGAUGGUGAUGAUUUCCCUCUCCCAGAGGGAAGUUUCCCCAGUAGAACAGCUCUGCCGGAGCUCUAGAUUGGAUCCGCCAAGGUUCCACCUCGUGGCGGCGGAGUCUCGUCCAGAAAAGUUCCUUCUUCUUUUUUUCUCAUCGAAAGACCUCAUAUAGGAGAAGAUGGGCGUCGGAGAGCCACCAGGGGGCCCACGAGGUAGGGGGGCGCGCCCUAGGGGGGCGCCCCCCCACCCUCGUGAGCAGGGUGUGGGCCCCCUGGCCUUCAUCUUUGGCGUGGAUUUUUCUUUAUUUCUUUUAAGACGUUCCGUGGAGUUUUAGGACUUUUGGAUUUGCGCAGAAUAGGUCUCUAAUAUUUGCUCCUUUUCCAGACCAGAAUUCCAGUUGUCGGCAUUCUCCCUCCUUAUGUAAACCUUGUAAAAUAAGAGAGAAUAGCCAUAAGUAUUGUGAUAUAAAGUGAAAUAACAGCCCAUAAUGCAAUAAAUAUUGAUAUAUAAGCAUGAUGCAAAAUGGACGUAUCAGAGCACAAUAGAUCGGGAAUUCUACCGCCAGAAGCCUCCAUAGCCACCGAAAACCAAUCUAGACCCGUUCCGGCACCCUACCGGAGGGGGGAAUCCCUCUCCGGUGGCCAUCUUCAUCAUCCCGACGCUCUUCAUGACGAGGAGGGAGUAGUUCUCCCUCGGGGCUGAGGGUAUGUACCAGUAGCUAUGUGUUUGAUCUUUCUCUCGUGUUCUUGAGGUGUUACGAUCUUGAUGUAUCACGAGCUUUGCUAUUAUAGUUGGAUCUUAUGAUGUUUUCUCCCCCCCCCCCUCUACUCUCUUGUAAUGGAUUGAGUUUCCCCUUUGAAGUUUUCUUAUCGGAUUGAGUCUUUAAAGAUUUGAGAACACUUGAUGUAUGUCUUGCCGUGCGUAUCUGUGGUGACAAUGGGAUAUCACGUGAUUCACUUGAUGUAUGUUUUGGUGAUCAACUUGCGGGUUCCGCCCAUGAACCUAUGCAUAGGGGUUGGCACAUUUUCGUCGUGAUUCUUCGGUAGAAACUUUGGGGCACUCUUUGAGGUUCUAUGUGUUGGUUGAAUAGAUGAAUCUGAGAUUGUGUGAUGCAUAUCGUAUAAUCAUACCCACGGAUACUUGAGUUGACAUUGGAGUAUCUAGGUGACAUUAGGGUUUUGGUUGAUUUGUGUCUUAAGGUGUUAUUCUAGUACGAACUCUAGGGCUGUUUGUGACACCUAUAGGAAUAGCCCAACGGAUUGAUUGGAAAGGAUAACUUUGAGGUGGUUUCGUACCCUACCAUAAUCUCUUCGUUUGUUCUCUGCUAUUAGUGACUUUGGAGUGACUCUUUGUUGCAUGUUGAGGGAUAGUUAUGUGAUCCAAUUAUGUUAUUAUUGUUGAGAGAACUUGCACUAGUGAAAGUAUGAACCCUAGGCCUUGUUUCCUAGCAUUGCAAUACCGUUUACACUCACUUUUAUCUUUAGUUUCCUUGCUGUUUUUAUAUUUUCAGAUUACAUAAACCAUUAUAUACUAUCCAUCUACCACUUGUAUCACCAUCUCUUCACCGAACUAGUGCACCUAUACAAUUUACCAUUGUAUUGGGUGUGUUGGGGACACAAGAGACUCUUUGUUAUUUGGUUGCAGGAUUGCUUGAGAGAGACCAUCUUCAUCCUACGCCUCCUACGGAUUGAUAAACCUUAGGUCAUCCACUUGAGGGAAAUUUGCUACUGUUCUACAAACCUUUGCAUUUGGAGGCCCAACAACGUCUACAAGAAGAAGGUUGUGUAGUAGACAUCAUACGCCGUUGACUCAGAUUUGGGUCUGUUUCGUGGGGGCACCAUCUGAACCACUGGAUAAUUUCUUGGUCACAUGGAGACUAGGAUCCCUGCUUGGCAAGACGGAACAGGUGGAUAUGCCCUUCAUACGCGCUCAUGGGGCGGCAUGUUUGCUUGUAAGUGUUGCUAACAUUGAGUUCUUGCCGGAUGUGGUAAGAUGGACUCAUGAGGGCAUCGUGUAUUUGCUGGAUGUCGAGUAUGAGGAUCCAAACUUAUUUCAGGACUUUGAGGAGGUACAUCAUAUGGAUACUUUUGAGGGUGGAGGUGCCUCCGGGAACCAGGAUGAUAGUGCACAGAACAAUGGUGACAAGGCUAGAGGGACUUCAACUUCAUCUAAAGCAGGAGAGCCUGCUAAUGAGAAGUCUCCGGUUUCUGCUCUGACCAACAUGCUGUAACUUGGAUCCUUGGGGGCUUUCUCCACGCCUCCUCGUCUUUGGAGUGAUCGAGUUGAUUUGGACGACCCGUCGGAACAUCUUCCGCCGGCGGCUGUGGGGUGUGAGUCUUUGAUAGUGCUGGAUGGACAGGGUGGAGCCGGUGGACAGGAGGCCGCCAUUGCCCCUUCCUCAUCUCCGUUGCAUAGGUUGGAGGUGGCGGCUGCUUUGGACGCCGUGGCGGGAGGAGGCGGGCAGAUGGUCCGGCCUUCUUCCUCGACUUCUUCAUCUCCGCAGAAGGGGCCCAGGGAAGGAUCUGCGGCCAUGGGUUCCCGAGGGGACCGGCGGACCUCGGAGGGGCAUGUGGGCAGGAGGCCUGCGUACCCCUUUCUCCCCCUCAGGCGAUGCACCCUCUGACGCCUCCGGUGGCGCCGUCACCGGCGACGGCAACCCUGGUGGGAGGGUCGGCUGGGGCUGGCGGCCAGGGGCCCUGUUCGCCCUUCAUCACUUUGACGCGACAUCCAGCGGCAUCGCCUGUUUCGGGUGCUUCGGCUGCGCCCGUGGUUGGUGGGGCUCCCGUGGCGUCCCCGGGAUUCGAGCAUCGGCCGAUGCCGCGGCAGGCUUCGAGGCCUCUUGGUGACUCUUCGGUUGUUCUAGUUUAGUUGAGCUCUGUUGGGGGCCGGGCAGGAGGCCCUACCCCAAACAGGGUCACGCGGGAGGAGGUCAUUGCUUAUGGAGGGAUACCGGAUCCUGUUUCUAAGGGGCGCCGGAUGAGCAGUCGUCUCCAGGAGCAGCCGGAUGUGGAUGACAUGCAGCUAAGGUGCGCUAUGCGGGCGGCCAAGCUUCGUGACAUUGAGGUCACUACUGGUAUGUCAGUCAAUACAUCAAAUUCCAUUCUUCAUUUUUAUGAGAUUGUUCACAAUGCAAAUUGAUACGUCUCCGGCGUAUCUAUAAUUUUUGAUUGUUCCAUGUCAAUAUUGUACAACUUUCAUAUAUAAUCGGAUGCGGAUUUUCGUGGUGAACAUUUUGAUAUAUUAUACGUUUUUUUCGACGUCGUAUACAAAAGUUAUAGCCGUUUUACUUUUUCAUGACACUUUUUUGCAAAACAUGUCUAAAUUUAAGUUUUUUAAUUUUCCUAACUAGUAGAUGUAGUAAUAUAACUACAUCUCGAAGGAUUUUAUUUUUUUGAAGUUUUUAUCAUUUUCUUUUGCUUUUUACAAAACUGAAAAGGUGAUCGGGGGUGGAGUUUGAAAAUGGGACCUUUAGUCCCGGUUUGAGACACGAACCGGGACUAAAGGGCAUCACACCCUUUAGUCCCUGUUCGUGUCUCAAACCGGGACUAAAUGGCUCAUUUGAACCGGGACUAAUGCCUUUAGCCGCACGAACCGGGACCAAUGCUCAUAUUAGUCCCGGUUCGUGACUGAACCGGGACUAAUGGGCUUAUCUGGCGCGAAAGAAAGCCCUCUUUUCUACUAGUGAGGCAAAUUCAUCAGACGUUGCACCCCCCCCCCCUCCGCAACCACCCUUUCUCGGCGCCCUGGUGCAUCGACCCUGCCGCUCCGGCUCCGCGUGGCAACAACUACACAUUUUUUAUCACAUACAUGAAUUAGAUAUUAACAUGUACUCCCUUGGUAAAGAAAUAUAAGAGCAUUUAGAUCACUAAAGUAGUGAUUUGAACGCUCUUAUAUUUCCUUACGGAGGGAGUAGUAGUUACUAGUUACUCUAUGUGUGAUUACACAUUCUUUAUCUAUUGAUUGAUGUAUUUAUUGAUAAAGUACAUAUUAUUCAUUGCUUAGAAAGCCGACAAUCGAAACGGUGAACCGGCGGUCUGAUCGAUAAACCAGAACCGACAGCCUUGCCGGUUCGAUAACCGGUUCAGUUUUUUAAACUAUGAAAAUAUGUCUAUAUACAUCAGUAUGUAGUCCUUAUUGAAAUCUCGGAAAAGACUUAUAUUUAGGAACGGAGGGAGUAGAUGAGUCUUGGUGCUUCAGUUUCAUUCAUUUCUAGUGGAUGGAAGUAGAGUAGUAUAUAUGGACACUGUUGUAAGGAAACUCUACUCACUUCGUUCCAAAGAAUCAAAGUAUAGUGCACAUUCGAUUUUCUAUAGUCAAAAUUUGUAUACUUUCACUAACUUCAUAGAAAAAUUAUCAAUUUCUAGAAUGCCAAAUCAUUAUCAUUAGAUUCAUGAUGAAAUAUAAUUUUACACGGUAUAAAUUCAGUAUUCUAGUUUAAAAAAUGUUUCUAUUUUUUUAGAAUGGGUUUCUCUAUAAAUCCUGUCAAAGCUUAAGAAACUUGAUUUUUAGAAAACCAACUAUAUAUUAAGGAACUGGGGGAUAAUAAGCCAGAUGAAGCCAGUUAUCAACUCUCAAGUUUUUUGCAGUCAGCUAUAGCGCAACGUCUAGCACUGGACAUCGACCUCGCUUCCACAACGAAUGGCCAGGAAGCUCAUCGCGCUCCAAUGCUUCCAGCUGAACAAGUGCAAUCUACUUACAUCAUUCACAUUCAGGCACCAAACAUUCCAGCAGAAGCAAAAAAUAGCUAUACAAGACCGCACCAAGCGUCGACCCAACAGCCCACACUGCCCAUAUGCCCAGCCAAGCAACAAUAUCCAAAAUUAUAACUGAAAUCCCAUUGAACUUUGUGACACUUACAACUGCAUCAUGGAUCCAACAGACCACUUAUAAGACAACGACCAACACAGAGAAAGCUUCUCCACAUAAACUGUAUGGUACAACAUGCAACAACGACAUACAAAGGCAACACACAAACACACACAUAUAUUACUAAGUAAAUGCAGUAGCAGCCGGCCCACGUACAUCAGCUAGUCUGUUCAUUGCCCUUCAGACUGAAGCGUCUGAUACUGCACAAAAGACACUACCCAAUUAACUCUGCUGAGUGAGAUAUCAGAUCAGGUCUGUAAUUCAGGCUGCACCACCAGAGUCAAGUCGGCUCUCAGAUAUAGCACGCCAUCGAUGAAGAGGCUGUCAUCAGCAAUGAACGUCGACCAUGGCAUUCCGAAAAGAUCACCG
This 55115-nucleotide long non-coding RNA is filed under the name Triticum aestivum (bread wheat). Its description in RNAcentral is "long non-coding RNA (TAES_LNC002186)". The record is from RNAcentral. Lineage: Eukaryota; Viridiplantae; Streptophyta; Magnoliopsida; Poales; Poaceae.